RNAcentral lists this long non-coding RNA (88252 nucleotides) under Populus trichocarpa (black cottonwood). RNAcentral describes it as "long non-coding RNA (PTRI_LNC002219)". The stretch from base 75881 to 76036 matches the Rfam family "MIR2912 microRNA precursor family". The record is from RNAcentral. Lineage: Eukaryota; Viridiplantae; Streptophyta; Magnoliopsida; Malpighiales; Salicaceae.
UUUUUUUUUUGUGAUUUUAACCCUCAUGAUUUUUUCAUAUAUAUUACUUUCAGUUUUAUAACCCUGGUCACCAUUUAAAAAGUUAACAUUAAUUGACUUUUUUGUCUUAUUUUUUUUAUAUUUAUUUUUUUUAUUUUUCUUUCUAUGAAAUUAUCCUAAUUAAUUUAAUUUUUAUUUUGUUAACAAAUAAAAUCAUUGAAACGUUUUGAGAAUAUUGUGAAGAUAUAUUUCUAUAAUAUUAGCAAGUAUUCAUAUAUAUAUAUUGAAUUGUUAUUGUUUUUUCGUUUUAUUUGUUGUCGAUAUCUUAUUUUCUAAUGAUAUUAUUAAAUUAACCGAGUUUAUUAAAUUCAUUUGAGCCAAUUACCUGAAUAUUAUAUUUUUUUAAUUUAAAAAAAAUAUUUACUUUUAUUAUAUAUUUUUUAUACUAAAAAAAAAAUUGACUCUAUGAGUCACCUAACUAGUACAUACACUUAAAUUUAUGUGCUUGUGAUACCCUACAUGCAAGAAUAUUUUUUUUAUUAGUAAAAAAAUUUGUCAGCAAUGCAAGCAUUUUCUUAAAGAAGUAAAAAAAAGAAUAAACUAACCAUCUAGAUGGUGGUCCAGUGGUAAAAGCUUGGGACCAAGAGGUUUGCUCCCUCUGUGGUCUUAGGUUCAAGCCAUGUGGUUGCUCAUAUGAUGGCCACUGGAGGUUUACAUGGUCGUUAACUUCAGGGCUCGUGGGAUUAGUCGAGGUGCGCGCAAGCUGGCCCGAAUAUUCACGUUAAAUUAAAAAAAACAAAACAAACAUCUUGAGGCAUAGACUCAUCUUAAAAUGCUCGUAUAAUUUAAUUACAAUAAAUGGAUCAACUUAAAUAAAAAAAUAAUCAUGGUAACAUUAAAAAAAAGGGUAAAAAAAAAAAUCAUGGUAUACUAUCAGUAAAAUUUAAACGCUGGUUGCUAGGGACAGUCAAACCUGUUUGAUCUGUGCUAUGCAUGGCCCACAUGCUCCCACAAAAUGCUAGCACACAAGGACAACGAGACGUUCCCUAGGGCGUGUUCUCGUAGUGCCAAUUUGGCGUGACGGUGUCGGCAGUCAUAUUCUCUUACAAUGGCCCAGCUCCAGUUCAUAGGCAAGGAGUUUUUUUGUUGUGUGUUAAGAUCCAUGGACAUUUUUAUUUGAUUUGGUGAUCGUGAUUCAAUUUUAUGAAACGAUGCCGUGUGAGUGGUUUUAAGAUUUAGAGGGUGUUUGAGAGGGUAAUAACGGUUGCGCUUUAAAAUAUAUUUUACUUGAAAAUACAUCUAAAUAAUAUUUUUUAAUUUUUUAAAAAUUAUUUUUGUCAUUAGCACAUCAAAACGAUAUGAAAAUAUUAAAAAAAAUAAUUAAAUAAAAAAAGAAAUUUUUUUAAAUUUUUAAAAUACACAAUUUCAACCGCGUUUCAAAACAGUGCUGUAGUUUGUGUUUAGGAAUGCAAAAGUUACCUCUCAUUUGUUUUUAUGAACUUGAAUCAUAAUUAAAUCUAAAGCAAACUGAUUUAAGAACUUGGGCUUGAGGAUUGAUGACUAGAAAUAUACAAGAUUUAUACUUUGUAGGUCUAGAAGCACAAAGAAAAUCCAAAGCAGUUUCUGUUGGAGGUUUUCCGAGUGAGUAUUCAAUUUUUGAGAAAGUCUAAGUUUUACUCUCUCUUUUCGUUGUAUAAUUUAUUUCAUUUUUGUCCUAUUUCUUUUCAUCGGUUAGUCAUGAAUGAGGUAGGUAUAUCAUUUGUUAGAACAUAGGGUGAAUCCACCGUGGACUCGCAUGAAUAUUUGGGGGGUGUGUGUGUGUCUAUAUAUAUAUAUAUAUAUAUAUAUAUAUGAAAAAGAAAAAAAUAUAUAUAUAUAUAUAUAUAUAUAUAUAUAUAUAUAUAUAUAUAUAUAUGAAAAAGAAAAGAAGAAGAUAAAUAUGUAUUGCAUACUCGCUUUUCAGAGUGUAUGCCCACAAUCUAAUUCUAAGUAAAGCUGUCAAGAAAAACGCGAGAGACCCACAAAUAAAUCCAAAAUUAUACCUAAUUUUUUUUUAGAAUUUUUUGAUAUUUUAAAAAACUUGUUUGGCUAGAUAUCGAAAGUAAAGAAAAGUUAAAAAAGAAAAAGAGCAUAAGGGUGUGUUUUGUCAAACACACCCUUAGCCUAAAGAGAAUGGACCAGCUGGGUCUGAGGCCCAGCCCGGUCUCAAUAGUUCUUCUUCCUUUUUUUAUAGGCUGGAUCUAGCCUAGCCAUAUGGACAGGGCUUGAUCCAGCCGGCCUAGCUUAGUCAUUGGCUAGACUAGUGACCUGGCUUGCCAUAGCAGCAGGCAUGCGUGAAUUACUCACGCAUGCUUGCAACAAUGACAGGGUAAUUAUGAUUGCAAAACAGGGGAAAAGAAGAACUUACCUACUUUAGUCAUUGUUGGAGAUGAAGACUUUAAGGCGAUGUUGGUUUGGACAACGCUCCUUUCUUCCUCUCUGUUUUUGUCUGUUUCUCUAUGGUCGUCCUUCUAUCUGAUUUUUCUAUUUUUUUGUGUUUGUUGGCUCUCUCUGUAUGAUCUUUCCUCUGUUUUUUUUCUUUCGUUUCUAGUCACCCCAGGUUCUCUGUUUUUUCCUACGCCUAUGCUUUUAUAAGCCUUCUUAGGGAAAUUCGAUCCUUAUCUCCUUGAGAUCGUGAUCUUGCGUGGAGAUAACUUUAGCUCCAUGAUUGGUGGGAUUAGGACACCAACAGUCUUGCCAUUGCUAGACUGUUAGUGAUGGCUUCCUUAAUGUUUAAUGGCACAUUGUGGGGUGAAGAAGGAAUGAAAAGAUGGGAUCACUAUGGUUGUGUUGAUGGGUCUAACAGAAGCCACCAUCAUUUUUCGUUCCUUUUCUCUCUUUUGCAAGUGAGUUCCUCUAUUCCAAGGAGGAAGAGGAUGAACAGUCUUCCUUGGAAUGACGUCGUUUCUUCGGAUGAAAUGGGCAUCUUCAUUUUGCUCCAUGAAGUUCUGACAUUUAGCAAUUGAGCCCUUAAUCAUGAAAAUCUUCUUCUUCUUUUUUUAAUGUCGCCCCUGGAUCAAUUGCAAUUGGACCCCUAGAUUCCAACGCCAUUUACAAAAUAGUACUUGGUUUCAAAUUUAAUUAAUUCAGUUCUUAAUUGACUCCUCAACUUUUAAUUCUUUCAUAAAAAACACCUGAAAAAAUCAAUUAACCCCCUAUAGUAUCAAUGUUUAUCAACUUUGGUCCCUAUAAUUUAAGUUCUUGCAAUUUUAACUCAAAUUGACCCUGAACUUUGAUAUUUCUUUAAUUAAGCCUCUGGUUGCAUUAAUUAAACUAUUUCAAAGUUUAAUUAAGUCCCUAAACUUAUCAAUUCUCCUAAUUUUUUGCCAAAUUGACUUCCAAUUUUAUAAUUUCAUUCUUAUUAGUCCUCCAAAUUUUAAUUUGUGUUAUCUUGACCCAAUCCUCAAAUCAUUUUUCAUUUAUUUUUUUAUUAAUAUUUUUUCUUAGAAAUUCAAGAAUUAGUUUAUGACAACAUUUAUAACCAUAAUUUAACUUUUACAAUAUGAUGAUAUCUGAUUGUAAAGGAAAUUUUAAGUUUGAUGCAAUUUAUUUUUUAUUUUUUUUCUUAAGUAUGAGGUAAAAAUUGUAAGUAUGAUGCAAUUUUGAUUCUAAAGGACUUAAUGGGGAAAUUAUUUGUUUUCUUUGUUAUUUUUAUUCCUAUUCAGUUUAGAAAAAUAUUUUUCUGUAUGGUGUUUUUUUUUUAUUUAGUUUAGAAAAUCAAAUAUUGAGCUUGAUAAUUUUAUUUUUCUUAUUUAGUUUAGGAAUCCCUGUAAUAACUCUAUAACUAUUUCUUAUGAUUCUUUUUCCUCUUCAAAAUAGACCUAUCACUAGUAUAAACAAAGUUUUUUAGCUUGUAUUUCAGUAGACUAUUUGAAGAGAAAAGAUAUAGUAAUAAAAUUUUAGAUUUGUGUGGUGACCCUACUCGGCUUAAUUUUGUUGAUUGUGUUUGUUGUUUUUCUUGCAUUAUUUAUGUUUGCAUCAAUUGGUAUCAAAGCCUAAUUGUUCUUGGUGGUUAGUUGUUGUGAGUUGUUGAAUAACCAUGAAUGGAAGAUGUCGCAAAACAAGAUGUGCUCAUGUAAAAGGAGACAUGGAUGUCUCCUAGAAAAGAGAUGUUCAAGAAUAGAUAAUAAAAUACAUGUAGAGACAAAUCACAAAAUUGCACCGUGAAUUGAUAAAGGUCCUAACUUGAAGGAUUUUAAGGAGAGUGAUCAUAGAUUCAUAAUCAACUUCGAAACCCCAUUUUAAAGGCGAGAGUAUAGGAGGCAACCUCUUGAUCAUGAUGGAUAUGAUAUUGAAACUGAAACUUUUGAUGAUCCUAAUUCUUUUAUGAAUUGGAAUCAACCAUCAAUUUAUGAUAUUUAUAUUGAUGGUGAUUAUAUUGAUUGUCGCACCCGACAUCACGACGACCUUAAAAAUCAAAAUAAAGAACUAAUUUUUGACAUCCUGUUCUUAAAUAGGAAAAAUGUCUUGUUUAAAGAGUUGUCACAUAGUAUUAUGGUCACUAGGAAUCCUAACUCGUCAACAGAGAUUCUAUGGUAUGAGACUGGUCACGCAAAAUGAAAAAUAUUAUCACCCCUUAAGCGUCCUGCCUAAGGCAGACUGCAUUGCUGGUUUUGUCUUAAAUUGCUAAGAGUUUGUUGGUUUAUACUAUGAUGGUCUACUUGUAAUAUUCCAGACUCUGACGUCAGUGAAUAUUGAACUAUGGAUACUUCCAACUCUGGCGUUGGUAAAUAUUACGUAGUAAAAAAAAGAACAUAUGGUAUUUCUGGCGCUGAUGUUAGUGAAUAAACCAAUAAAAUGAAUUUAAAUCAAUGCAUACGUAUUUUGUUUCUAUUUUUCUCUAAAAAAAGUAUCAUACACCAGAUUUGUACUUCACAGUAAAAAUCCACAUAUUAAAUAUACAGUGAAAUACCUAAAAAAACACGAGUGACCUACAAAUAAAUUUAAAAAGGUCCAUGAAAUUUUUUGGAAUUUUCUGAUAUAAAAAAUACCUGUUUUGCUAGAUAUCAAAAUAAAAAAAGGUGAAAAUAAAAGGGUAAAGAAUAAGGGUGUGUCUUGCAAAACAUAUCCUUGACCCAAAACAAAUUGGUCUGGAUGGGUCUUCAGCCCGAUCUCAGCUUUUUCUAUUGUUUUGGGCUGGGUCCAAGCUGUCCGGCCUGAUCUGGAUCCAGCCAGCCCGGCCUGGUCUGGACCCAGUUACUAACCUAAGCCAGUAACCCGAGUAGGCAAAGCAGCAGGCAUGCAUGAAAUGUUCAUGCACGCUUGCUAAGAAGGGUUAAUUAUAAAUGAAGAUACACGGUGCUUAUGUAAUUAAAAUGCUCAGAGGGUAGCUAAACUUUUUAAGCCUGGGUUUGCUCCAGAGUUGAUUAGUUUGAUUACUAUAGAUUUUAGAGUUAUUGAAGAUUUACAUCAUUAUUAAUUUUAGUAUCUUAAGGGAUUCUACAUAAACUGAUCCGCAUACUCAUUAUAAAAAAAAAAAAACGAAGCAAAGGGGAGGAAAAUGUAGAACUCACGUACCUGGAGAUGCUUGGGGAUGAAGACGGCGAAGGAAGGCUGGCCAACUGCUUUCUCCUCCUCUGUUUUUUCUUGUUCCUUCUCAUUCUUUCUGCUGUUAUCUCUGUCUCUCUCUGUGUUCGGUUUUUUUUUUGUUCUGUUUCUGUGCUUCUUCUGUGUUAUAUCCUCUCUGCGUUUUCUACUUUCGCUCCCUUUGGUCUUUCUUUUCGUUUGUUCUCGGCUCCUGUAUUUUUUAGUCUUCGUCUCCUGUUCGUCUGAGCUUGCUCCCGAUUGCUGGAGUUUUGAAGGAAAUUCUACAGUCCCUCUCCUCUGUUUCACUCUGCCUCUGGUUUUCUCUCUUCAUGCCUCCUCUGUCUUUCUUUCUUUUUUCCCUCUGGUAUUCUUCUGUUCGUUCGUUUGUUGUUUGUUUCCCCGGUUUCCUCUAUCUCACCUUGCGCCUCUGCUCUCUCUCUCUCUCUCUCUCUCUCUCUCUUUGUCUCUAUCCCCACUUUCGUUCACCUGUUGUGUUCGUAUUUAUAGGCAAGAGAACGCCCUUGCACCUCUCAGAGUGGUGAUCAUUCAGCUGCUGGGAUAACAUCCAUUAUUGGACUAUUAAUGGCACAUUGUGGGGGAAAGAAGUUACCACGUUCUCUGCCAUUUCCGCUGAAUCGGGAUGAAGGAGAUGAACAGUUUGCUUUGAAACGGCGCCGUUUUAAUUACAAGUUUACUAUUAACACAAAUGUAGAUUUUUUUAAGGGUUAUUUGGAUACAACACAAUGUUGAUAAAGCAAGUUGAAGAUUUACAAUUCAUUACUAUAAAAGUCAAUGGAAGAGAAAUAAUUUAUCAAUUGUUGUUGUUUAUAUAAAUUUUAACAUGAAAAGAUUAAAAUUGAUAUCUAAAAUUAUUAUACAUCUAAAAUUAAAAAUAAUAAGGGGUUAAAAAAUCUUGAUUAGAUAUUUAUGAGAUCAAUGAAAUAACAAUUUAAACUCGAGGAUUAGUUAUUUCUAACAUAGAAAGAUUGAUGUUAGAGGUUUUUUAGAGAAAAUUAUCUGUUUCCUUAGUUUUAUUUCUAUUUAGUUUAAGGAAUCAAAUAUUAUGCUUAGAAAUUUUAUUUUCUAUUUAAUUUAUAAAUCUCUAUAAUUAUUUAUUAGAUUUUCUCUCUCUUCAAAAUAGACCUAAAAUUUUUAAUUUAGAAUUUUUGCCUGGUUACUUUAUUUAACAAAGUUAUGUUGCUUGUUAUCGUUUUUGUGUUAUUUUAUAUGCGUUAAAUUUAUUUUUUAAUUUUUUAAAUUGUGUUAUUUAAUAGUUUUAUAUACUUAAAAAAACUAUUUAAUGUUUUGAUUAUUUUUCUUUGUUUUUUUUUUACUUAUUAUUUUUAUAAUAUUUAUGUGUUUUCAAAGAAAUAACUCAUUUAUUAAGCAAUUUAUUUAGUUUAUUAAAUAAGUUGUUUAAUUUUCUAAGAAGAUAUUUAAUUUAAGUUAUGUAAUUAAUAAAUAUUUUGACACAAACAGUAGAAUAAUAGAUUACGACACAUGCGAUUUCAUUCAUUAUCAAAUAAUUGAGAUAUUUAAUCUCAUAAUAUAAUACAGCAGGAAUUGCACAGACAACAUAGGAGUCAGUCUUCAAAUAAACCAGGUCCUGCACGGAAGUCUUCAAUUCUAAUUUGUCGCCACAGCUUCUACAAUUCUAAGAAAAGUUGAUUUGUCUUAAUCUAUGUUUAGUCCCUUGAAUUGCUUGAAUAAUUGGAUUUGGUCCCUAAACAAUAAAAUAAAAAAGACUUAUUAUUGUUACAAAUCUGUGAAGCUUAUGACAUAGGAAGCAUCUUUCCUUGCUGUAAGUUUAGAACCCUAGUACUGCAGAUUGGCAUUUUCCUCGAAAAAUCAUCUAGCAGCAAUAGCAUGCCCUACAUUCCACUCACCCUAUUUAGUAAUACUAUAACAAGAUUAUUUUAAUUUCUUUGAAGAUCAAGUCAGAGCUCAGUGUGAAUAAUAUCCUCAGUACUGGUUUCAGAAAGCUCAGAAAUUUUCAUCUGAUCAAUGACAUUACAGUUUUUGGCAUGGGAACUUAGGCAGUCGGCUGAGGGAUGCACGACACCAUACCCAAAGCCUUGUGCAGAGUUGCAAUAGGUCUCCUCUGUGCCAUCAUUCUUCUCUAAGUUGAUGUUGCUCAACACUAUGUUGCUGCAAGGAACAGUAUCACUGCAUGCAAAUUUCAUGGCCUUUGAACUUUUUGUAGUACCACUUAUAUUCCGGUAUGUUAUCUCACUUAUUUCAACAGCUGAUGUCUAAAGAGAAAGAACGGCAGAAAAAAAAAAAAAACGGAGAUUCUGGUCAGAUGGUUGGCAGUUAGCCUAUUGUAACAAAUAUAUUACUACAAGAUAUGGUAAAAUGGAAAAUGGCAGAAUUACCUGGUUAUGGCAUGUUUUUGGAGAAUCACAGUAGAACUGAUCAAUAAUGACGGGGUUUGCAACAUUCUCCAUUCCCACAUUCUCGAAGCGUACCCCACGGACAUAACCAUGACCACCCUGCAACAGAAAACUGGAAUGAUCACUUGGACAUUUAAAAGCACAGCCUAUAUAGUAAGAUUUGGAACAUGUUUAAGAAAAACAGCACUCGAAGCCUCUAGAGUCUGAACAGUACAGUUCAUCAUCAUGCAAAGUAUUACCUGCCAAGUUUUAAUUCUGAGGCCAUUUGUUGUCUCCCGAAGGAAUGCUGUAUCCAAGACUACUUUUGUUACCAUGCCAGUGGAGUUGUCCUUCCCAAGACUUCCAAUGCUGAUUAGCAGAAACAUUUGCGCAAAAGAAUUGGUUCAUAAUAAAAUAAGAAACUCAUUCCUAGUUGUUGUAAACACUUAGUGGACAUUAACAAUUCAAUUGAACCUUGAGCUGUAGGACUUCACAGUAAAUAUACCUGAUUCCAUGUCCUGGUCCACAAAAAAUUCUCUUCAUCUUGAUAUUGGAGCUACCGUUCACGAUUGAGACACAAUCAUCACCUGUAUAUUGAAGUAGAAUCAACACAACGACCUGUUAGUAAGUGUGCCUAUAACACCAGUAUACUUGCUACCAUGAAACUUGUUUCACUUGGGAACGUAGUCUUGAAUUCUAAGUUUCUCCAUUGAUGCAUCAUGAUUAAUUUCUUUCAUUGUUUUACUUGUCUUGUGGUUUGUUUUUAUCAUUUUUAAGACAAAUGCUUAAAAAACAAACGAAUAUGAGCUCUCUCCCCUUUAAAUCUCAUUUUCUUAUACUCAGAAAAUGGAAGAGGAAGAAAAGAAUGAUGAUAAGGUUUUCAAACCUGUUCCAAUUUUGCAGUCCUGGAGAACAACAUUAGUUGAUCCAGUAAUAUGAAUUCCAUCAGUGUUGGGACUAUCUUCUGGAGCUGAGACUAACACAUCAGAAACCCGCACAGAAUCAGAAUGGGAAAUCACAAAGUGCAUCUGUUGGCUGUUUUGGAUAGUAAGGCCGUUAAUCUUUACAGCUGAGCUUGAAUCAAUAGUUAAUGCCUGCAAAAUCCUUGUCUGUUAGUUCCAACAGUGUACAUUUGGCAGUUCUAUUUGAUGUUUUGGAUAUGUUUCUCAAACACUGGUGAAUGUAAUGAAGAAACAGAUGCUUACUGUUGGUGCUCCUCUGCAAGGCUGUAAAGUACAGAAAGAGAAAUAUGUGUUACAUUUUACUCUUGGAAUAGCAACACACUAGUAGGGGUAAAUCUAGAUAGAGUUUAGAAGAAUUACAUUUGACUUGUUCUUUUUGCAGGAUGAUGCCCACCAUUUGCUUCCCGAGCCAUCAAUUACUCCGUUCCCUUGGAAGAGAACUCCAUUCAAUUUAGAGAAGUAUAGCCAAAGUCGAGGAAGAUUUGGAUCCCAAUUCUUAGGCUCAUCAGGUGCCACUAUUGUUCCAUCUAUCUGCAAAUGCAUAAUGAAGAUGGAAUGUUUGAUGAUGGGGAUAUAUGCAUAUUACUAUCACAUUGGAAAAGUGCCAACAAUAAUUCAUAGCAAUAAAUGACAACGCUAAUCUCUGCUGAAGUAUAUGGUCUUGGUCAACUCAAUUUGAUACAGCCUUCCAAAUUACCUGGAUGACCAACCUAUCAGCACAAGGCCCCUUAAAUCUCGUUGCAUUAACCAUAUAAUGCCGUCCUGGAGGAACCAAGAAAACUGAUUUUGGUGUAGUACAGGCUGUGUUCCAAGCUUUUUCAAAGGCCUGGUGAUAUAACAACACGAAAUAAAGCCAGUUUGAUAAUCAGCAUCAAGACUACUUUGAACAAAGAAAGAAUCAUAAAAGUUGACAGAAAGGGAAAUAUUGUAUGCUUCAAAUGGUAUUGCAUAAGCUCCAGGCUAGCUGGUUCUUUAAAGGUGAGCUAUCGGUGAUCAAUUUUGGAGUUGACUUGUGAAGCUUAACCACCAAGGAAAACCAAAUACUAAAAAGUUUAUGAAGUUAUUUCAAGAAAACAGAACGCACCUGAGUGUCAUCAGAAACCCCAUCUCCAAUAGCACCAAAGCUAUCAACAUUGACAAGAACCUUGCCCCCACGUUCACUUGUCCAUGAUGGAACAACCUUGGAAAACUCUGUCUCAUCUACUUCUUCUAUGACAAAGUUUUCAAGCUUCUCAAGCAUGGCAAUGCUGUCACAUGCCAUGUUUCCUGCAACUCCGUGAGCCACUAUCAGCAAACCAAGAAUGGAAAUGAAGAAGAAUUUAUCCAUUAUAUUGUCAGUUCUUUAUGUUUCGCAACACUAAUUGAUUUAUGCAAGUCCUUGUGAACAUUAGGUGAUUAUUUAUAUGUGGAGAUUAGAUAACGAAAUCUGGAGCUUUGUGGGCUCUAUGGCUUGGCUUAAAAGCACAUUAACAAGCACGAAUUUCUACACCCCCACACUUAAAGUACAAGGAAUUUUUUUUUAAACUACUUUGCUUUACUCAACAAAUACACAGACCAUUCCAAGUGUUCAUAGACUCUGCCUUUGGCUUCUGUUCUCUCUUUGAAGACGUAAAUUAAAUGUUUACUGCAAAAGUAUACAAUGAGGCAGAGAAACAAUGCAAAAUACUUUAAGCUAUGAAGAAAUCGACUGUUUUGUUGGACCAAACAGGGCAGCCAAAAAGCUUAUGGUGACUUCCCACUACAUGCACAUUAAACGCUUCAAGCAAAAGAAAACUUUACAUAGAUAUUUUAUGUAGUGUACACUUGACAAGAAGGGAUUUUGUGAAAAGAAAGUUCAAUUUCUGUCUACUGUCAGAGGCGAUGCCUGAUGUCUUCAGUUUUCUUAUUUUGGACAGAGCUCCAAUCUAUAUGGGGAUUGUUCACCUCAAUAAAACUGCGACCAAUCUCCCUUGUCAACUUUCUUGCUAUAGCAAGCUCUCUAAUGUGCAUUGAGGAUUCGUAUUCCCCAAUGUCAGAAUAGAAGUUUGAUACUUGCAAAUACACUGAAAAAUCUUCUGGGUCAAGCUCUAACAAUGCCUUCGCUGCUCUUCUUCCUACAAUUUCAUUCCUAUAGAUCCUACAGCUUCGCAGUAAUGAGGUCCACAUCACACAAUCACCUCUUCCAGGUGCCUUUUGCGUCAACUCUUCAGCUUCAUCAAGCAAACCUGCACGCCCCAAGAUAUCAACCAUACAGGAAAAAUGUUCCUUUGCUGGACAGAUCCCAUACUGGGCUUUCAUUGAAUAAAAAAUCAAUCUUCCUUCUUCAAACAACCCAGAAUGACUGCAUCCAGUUAAAACACACAAGAAUGUCACUUUAUCAGGUUCCAAACCCUUUCGGAUCAUUGCUUCAAAUGUCUGAAGGCAUUCUCUCCCCAACCCAUUCUGUGCAAGCCCAUUGAUAAUUGACGUAAAACAGAUUACAUUUGGUGAAGGAAGUUGUUCGAAAACCUUUUUUGAAAGUUGAACAUGACCACACCUUGAAUAUGCAUCAAUCAACGAACAUGAAACUGCAAUAUCGGAUCCGAAACCUAAUUUCAUUGCACAACAGUGCACCAAUCUGCAGCUGUCCAUACUUGCAAAUUCAGAAACUGAUAAUGCUUUCAGUGUUGUGGAAAAUGUAACCUCAUCAAGUCCAAUUCCUUCAUCAACCAUCAAACCAUACAUCUCAACUACAUCAUAAACAAUACCACAGUGCAGCAAAGAGGUCAUUAAAGAAUUGCAAAUCUGUGUAGUUUUCUUGGGAACACUUUCAAAAGCGGACACUGAACUCUCAAUGUACCUGCAUUUCCCAUACAUGUCAAUCAACGCAGAUUGUACAUGAAAACUUCCAAUGUCAAAACCCAUCUUCAAGACACAACAAUGAAUCUGCUUCCCAAACAAAAUAUUACCAUUCAAGCUUGACAAAUGCAAUAGUGCAACAAAUGAACGAAUUGAUGGCUUUCCCCAAAACUGCAUCAAAUAAAACAACUCAACAGCUUCAAAUAAUAAGCCACAGUCAGCAUAAACUGACACUAUUGAAUUCCACGAAAUGACAUCCUCCACCUUAAUGGACUCAAAUGAUUUCCUUGCAUCAUUCAAACUCUUACAAGCAGAAUAAAAAUCCACUAAAGCAUUAGCAACAAAAAUAUUUGAUCUCGCCCAUCCAACUUUAAUAAUAUGACAAUGCAGCUGCUUCCCUUCAUAAAAAAACUUUUCAUUACGGCACCCUCGAAUCAAAUAACAAAAACUAAGUCCAUUCGGAUGUACACCAUCCAAUUUCAUCUCAUGAUACACUCUUAAUAAUUCAUGGAACCGACCCAGUUCACAGAAACCGCGUAAAACCAAAUUCCAAGUAGCCAAAUUUCUCUCAGGCAUUUCAUCAAACAAACUAAAACCCAAAUCAAAACAUCCCAUCUGCAUAUAAAAACCAACAAGUGAAGUUCUAAUGAACAAAUUGGAGCCACACCCAAGUUUAAUAAUCCUGCAAUGAACUUGAAUUCCUUGUCUUAAAAACCCAUCUUGGCUGCUGCAUAUACUUAAAACAGAAGAAAAAGUUGAUGGGCUUUCUUUAAUUCCUAAGGAAACCAUUUCAUAGUAAUAGUAAAGAGCUUGUUUUGGUAUUCCGUAUUUUCCAAGCCCGGAAACCAUCAAGUUAUAUGUAACAACAUCACACAUGGACAUUUCAUCGAAUAGUUUUUGAGCAAGGGUAACGUUCCCUGAUUUUAUGUAGCUGUCAAGUGUUCUGUUUUUGGCGUAAAUGGUGUCGUUUAUGUGAGGUUGGAGGUAAGAUUCUAAGACCAGUGAUGAUGAUGAGGUUGUUGUUGUCGUCGUCGCCGCCGCCGCCGCCGAUGACAGCACUGGUCGGUGUAUUUUUUCUGUACGGACAAGAUGCAGUCUUAAUUUGGAAUUGGUGGAUUUCAUUUGCAUGCUCGAGCAUGUGCGUGCCUCUUUAGAAGUUAGAUAGGACUUGGGAUAGGAAUGAAUGGGUGGGUUUAAAAUAACUUUCACAUCUUCACUCAUCUAAUUAUUAUAAUAUUUAAUUUGAAUUUUUUAAUUAAUAAAUAAAUUGAAUUUAUAUAUUAAAAAAUAAAAUAAAAUUCAUUUUAUUUUAUAUAUUAUUCUCAUUACCUUCAUUUUAUUUCUUUAAAGUUUUUUUUUAAAAAAGCUAGAUGUUUAAAAAAAUUAAUUUUAAUAUUAAAUUUCUUCUUUUUGGAAUUGUAAAUUAAAAGAGGUGACCUCUUAUUCACUUUUGUAGCAUUUUUAGAGAUUAAAUUUUAUUUGAAAUUCAAUUCUAAACACUUAAGUGAUUUCCAAACAUAAGAUUUUAUUAAAAUCUAUUCAUUAAAUUCAUUUUAAAAGGUUCCAAAUAUGUUGAUAGUUAUUAGAUCUAGAAGCUAAAUUGAGACCUAAAUUGUGAAUUUGUUGGGUCAAUCCAAGUCUAUUUUAAUUUUGAACAAAGAAAGCAUGUCAUUUUGAACAAAACUUUUUAAAAAGUUAUCUUACAAUUGACCUUCUCAUAUCUCAACCAAGUGUGGUCAAGUCAAUUGAAUUAUGAAUUGACUAAAUAGGUCAUUUAUGUUUUAAUGAAUCAACUUUCAAAAUUGUUAAAAAAUCUCAACUUGACCCAGGAUCUAUAUAUUGGGUUUCCCGAAACACAUAUACGCAGCAAAAACAAUAAACUUAAGAUCUUGUUAGAUAGAUCUAGAGUUGUUUAGGGAUUAUACGAAAAUUACCUAAAAAUCAUAUAUUCCUUUUGGUUUUGAAUAAUUGCUUCAAGACUGAGUUACCGCAAACCACAAGUCAACCAAGUGUCUGAUCUCUAGCGGUAAUGAUUGUUAUGCCUUUGAGUAAUAACUCUUUUGUUCUGUGUUUUUUAGGUGUUUUGUAGUGUACUACAUAGAAAACUUGAAAACCCUAUAAAUGACAAGACAUCAAUUUGCUUCUGAACAAUAUCAUAUAUAUUAUUUUAGAAAAAUUUUAAAAAUUUAUUUAAUCAAGUCUCUACUUAUUAGGGAACCUAAUAAGUCAUAUGUAUAAUUUACUAUAUAAAUUACAUUCUAGUUCUUAGUGUCUAAAACUUAUUCACAAUCAAGUCACACUUGAUUAAUUAUUUUAGUUUAAUUUAUGACCAAUGGUUUUUAUGUAUAUGACCUAUUAGGUUCCCUAAUAAGUUGGCCCAAAUAUAAAUCACAACCUAAAUAAAAUAGGAUUAAAUAAAUAAAAAUAUUAAUCUAUUUUUAAUUCAACAAUUAAUUGAUUAAUAUUUGAAAAUCAAGUACAAUAUUUAGCAACUUGUCAUGAUCCCUAAAUAUUAGAAAAGUCAUAAGUGAUUUGAUUUAAUCUUUAAUUGACUAGUUUCUUAGUAUAAUUAUUAUAUCUCUCCGUCAACUAUUUUCCAAUUUAGACAUUAUAUAAUAAAGUGUGUCUACUCUCUCAAAUCAUGUUUAUUCUUAAUACCAUACUCAUUGAUUCUUUGAACAAGAUUUGAAAUUCUUUUCAAAUCUCAUUUCACCUUACUUAAGAAUUUACAAUCAAUAUUAUUUGAGAAUAUAUGAAACAUUUUAUCUAAUUCAAAUACUUUUAUAUAAUUUAUGUUAUGCCCAAUAUUUUCCCGUUUGUUACCCUUUAUUAGAACUUUUCCCGUUUGUUACCCUUUAUUAGAACAACAUGUAGCAGAAUCAAAAUAUAACAUUCCCUAUAUAAACUUGGUGAUCUCAAGUCUACGGAUCACCUACACAACUGUCACGUGAGCUUUUUUUAUAAAUAUAUAUGAUCUCUCCAUGUGAAAUUCUCAUGUAGGUCAUUUUAAUAAAUAUAUCAUAUGACAAGCACCUACAUAUUAGUUCUAGGUAUUUCUCAUACAUUAGUUUAAGAAAACUAAUUGCUUCAUUUCAUAAAAAAAAAUAACAUAUAUAUAUAUAUAUAUAUAUAUUCAGUCUUAAUAGAGCAUUGACCAAAAAUAUUUAGGAAUAAUGCUUUGUUGUAAUAGAAAUCUCAAAAUUAUGAAAACUCAUAAUUUUUUUUGCAAAGCAUUUUUGUUUCAAAAACUUUAUCUUUACUCUAGAUUUAUUAAUCAAAUAUUUAAUGAAUAUUAAAGAUAAAUAAAAUUUUUAUUAAAAUUAAAUAUAUUAAUAUAUAUAAAGUUAUUGUCACGUGUAAUAUAGAGCAUAUACAAAUCAAAGUUUAUAAAGCAUAUACACUAAUCUUAUAUGGACGAGUCACUAUCACUAAAUAGACAAACCGAAGAAUUUAGUAAGGAGAUAAUACUAAUAUGUUCAAGAGGAAUUUAAUAAUAACACCCCUAAAGGAUGUUUGAGAGUGUGGUAGCGGUUGCUUUUCAAAGUAGAGGUGAACAAAAAAAUCAAAAAACCGAUUAAACCGAGAAAACCCGAAAAAAAUAACAAAAAAACCGAAUCGUGAAAAAAAAUCGAUUAGAAUAUUUAAAAAACCCGAUCGGUUCAGUUUCAUAAGCCUGAAACCGAAAAACAGAACCGAAUCGAAUUGAAAUUAAUAAAAAAACCAAACAAAAAAAAAACAAGCCAAACCGGAAAAAAAACGAGCCAAAUCGAAACCGAACCCAUUAGAAAUUACAAGAAACCCCCAAAAAACAAUAUAGUUUUUGGUUUUUAAUAUAAAAUAACCGAACCGAAACCAAUCCAAACCGAAACCAAUCGGUUGGGUUUCGGUUUUUGUUCUAAAAUAACCGAACCGAACCAAAACCGAUUAUUUUGAAUCGGUUUUGAUUUUUUUAAAAAUUCAGUUUGGUUAGUUUUUAGGUAAAAACCAAACCGAACCGAAAAUGAUUACCCUUAUUUCAAUGUGUUUUUUGUUUGGAAAUGCAUCAAAAUAAUAUAUAUUUUUUUAUUUUUAAAAAAUUAUUUUUGAUAUUAGCAUAUCAAAAUGAUCUAAAAAUACUAAAAAAAAUUUAAUUUGAAGUAACAAAAAUAAUUUUUUUUUUUAAUUUUUUUAAAAUAUUUUUAAAACAUUAAAAAUAAAAAUAAACACGCCAUUCAUCUAGCCUGAUGCAACUGGGUUCAUGUUGAUGUCAUUUGCUAGGAUCGCAAAAACCUGCAAAAAUAAACACGCCAUAUUGAUGUAGCCGGAUGCAGGUGGUUCAGGUUGAUGCCAUUCGCUAGGAUCGCAAAGCAAACCCCGUUUAGCCAUGUAGAAAAAAAGAUAAACAAAACAAAACAGAACCUACACAAUGUAUAGUGAUGUUGACCGCAUAUAUUUUAAUUAGCUAUUGCUGGAGAACAGCAAUUUCUUAAUUAAGCCACGUAGUUAGAACAUGUUCAACCAUGCACAGUACUCUUGCUCCACUUCAAUGCCCACUAUGGUUAGAAAAGGGGGCUUUUCUUAGCUUUAAGAUUACUCUAUUAAUGUGUGGUAAUGUUGCGUUUCACUGGCAGCCAUUCAAUCAUAAAUGCUUUAUCUUUGCUUGCUCCUAACGUCCUAGGAUUAUGAAUUUUGAACAAGUCACCUCUUCAUUACCAAAAGAAAGAAAGAAAGAAAGAAAAAAGUCACACUUUCGCCGCCCAUGGUAGCAAAAGACUGUGCGUCUCUCCCUCUCUCCCUCUCCAUGCAGACUAGUCAUAUUAAUUAUUAAUCCACGUAACUAAAUGUUUAAUUAGUGAAUAAAUAUGGUAUAGGUUCAAGAUAUGCCAAAGCGUGACUCCAAAAUAACUAAUCUGUUCACUGCAAUUUUUCCUCUCGAUCGGUACUUGCUAGAAGUUAAUUUUCUGCGCGGAUUUUGUUCACUAGUAUCGUUAAUAUGAUUGAUUUACCUCUUAUAUCCCAGUUCAUAACAUACGAUUGAAAAUGGGGUUGUCCAUAUCAAUAAUGCUUUUUCCAUGAAUUUUCAGUAGUAAUAUUCUGAUCUGAAUUACCAUUCUGAAUUAUAACAUACGAAGAACAAAUGUCUGAAAUGACAUGAUAGAUCAACAUAUAUAGAGCUAGUUCAUGAUGAAGACACAAAACUAAGCAUAGACAUGAGGGUUCUCCAAGAGGUAGGCUUCCACGACUUUGUAUAUUCCCCUAGCUUUGUCUUGACCAGCCUUGAUUUCUUCCUCUUUGAGAGUAAAAUCUCCAAGCAUUAAAUAGCUGCUUGUCAUCUUACAAUCGCAACCUCCAUCACUCCCUACCUCAAACCUGACCUCAUAAGCAAUAGAUUCAAGCUUCUCCCCAAGUGAAUCCCCUUCAAUCAUAGUGUACUUGCAAACGAGAUUGACUCUGUCUAGCUCAUCAAUUCGAUGCUUCACGUAUUUGAUAUCAGUACCUGCAUGGUAAACUAAUCAAAUCCAUGCACCAAGUUGUGAUAUUGGCAUAAGACUUGCAUCAGUAAAACAAAUUGCUAAGUGCGCGUGUGUGUAUAUUAUAUAUACGCAUAUAUUAUGCGAGAAUGCUUAAAUAUAUAGGCUAAGGGCAAUGGCAGUUGUUUGCAGCCACGAAUCCUAACCGUACGAGUGAUUCACAGGGCCACCGCGACGGCCAUGAUCCGCGGCUGCAAGCUACCAUGACUAUCCUUAAUAUAUAGCCCUUGUUUACAAACCUUCAGUGAAGUUGACUUGCUCUAUGCUUCCAGCUCCUCCAUCUCCAUGGAUUAAAUCAACACUUUUUACGAUUUGCGGCAAGAGUUUUGGGAUCAAAUUGUUUGAGUCUAAGAUUAAGGCCUUGAACAUGCGUGCUGGGGAAAUUGGGCAUGUAAAUUCUUGUGUGUAGCUAGCGACACCCAUAGUGUUAAAGACUGUACCAAGCCGAAUAGAGAUGACACUAGUUUAUAUAUGCAUGCAUGGAUGAGUAGAUUUUUGGUUUCUUUGGUAAUUAGCCUCCUGAACUUUGUUGAAUGGAAAUGCCACCAAUGAAAGUAUAAUUUUCAAAGUCUUCAAAUUUUUGUUGGCUGCUAAGACCUGACUGGGGUUUGUGCGCCUGCGUAUAAAUAUUUAAAUAUUUGUUACGGGCUGAAAACGGUUUCUUCUACUUUGAAAAUCUAGAAGAAGGCAGGCUCACGUGUUCACAUGGGCGGCGCUCAAAGGGGUGGUUUGGAGGGCCGAGGUUGAUCGGGCUUCGAGCUCCUCGUCUAAGCUGAAUGCAAGUUGGACCUGAGGCCUACUCAAGGUCACAAAACUAUCGCUCGUGAUUCAGAGCACAGAAGCUUAUCGGGCUUCACCAUUGUUGAUGUAUCCGCAAUGAAUACACCAAUCAAAAGGACACUAUAUGUCGAAACAUUGGUAAAAAGCUUUUAUUGGUCCCUCUACUCUUAAUGUUGAAUUAGUUUGCUUUGUCCUCUCCAUUAAAUUUUUUUUUUCUAAUGUCAGCCCUUUCUAAUCUUCAUCAACAUGUCAAUCACUAAAUAGAACAUGAUUGCUACUAUAGUUUAAUUAGCUGAUUAAUCAAAUUGUCAAGCGACAAUACGAUGUAAGUUCUAAUGAUCAAGAGAAGGACAUUAAAAAUAUAGUCAAAGGAAAGAAACUAUUGAGUCUAACAAAGAGAAAAAUAGUCCUAAAACUAAGUAUUAUGUUGAUGCAGGUUCCAAUGAAUUGAAGUAAUCUGUGCAAGCUAAAAUUCUAGCAAUGUAUUUCUGGAUAAUAUAGAGGACAAGAGCAUUAAUGGAGGUAUUGGGAAGGUCAACCAAGGGCAGAAUUAGAUGAAAGAUAUGGGGGAGGUGAAUAUGAAGAGGGAGAACAUAUGGGUAGGGAUAAAUACAAAGAAAAUGAGAGAGUUUUGGAUGAACUCAUUAAAAAAAUAAAGAUGAAAGUGACUGACUUUAAUGAGAAGUUUGAUCAUGAUACUUUUCAUGAUUGGAUGGUAUCUUUAAAAGAUUAUUUUGAAUGGUUUUCAGUGCCAGAAAACAGAAUGACCAAGUUUGUUAAACUGAAAUUAAAAGGGGUUGCACAUUCAUGGUGAGAGAGUGUAAAAGAACAACAAUUGAGGCGCACACGCUAACCUUCUAUACAAGAAUAAGCAGAUAUGAAGGCUUGAUUAGAAACAAAAUACCUGCCAAACAACUAUGCGCAAAUAGUGUAUAAAAAUAUGCUUUGUUAGACACAAAGGAUGAACAUGUCUAUUGAUCAAUAUAUAGAGAAAUUCCAUGACUUGAUAAUGAGAAGUUAGAUUAUAGAAACUAAUCAACAAGCCAUUGCUAGUUAAUUGAAGGGUUUAUGAGGGUAUAAUAGGAAGGACAUGCACACUAUUAGAUUGUUUACAGUGGAUGAAGCUUACCAACUUGCUUUGUAGAUACAAAAACAAUAAGCAUUCAUUCGAAAUAAAUAUGAGAGAGAUUAGCAUGGCAUGAAUAAGUCUACACCAUUGAAGAAUAAUGUGAAGGGCAACAUGAACAAUGUAAGGAAUACAGGCUUUUAUGGAGACCAGAACAAAACUAUGAUGGGCAUUGAUGGAUCACAAUGCUAUAAAUCAAAGGAUGGGCUGUAUAAGUGGCUUGUGAUGCCUUUUGAUCUAACAAAUGCACCAAACACCUUCACAAGGGUGAUGACUCAGACUUUGAAACCUUUUUUAGGCUGGUUUGUUGUCGUAUAUUUUGAUGAUAUACUUAUUUUUAGUCAGAAAAUAGAGCAACAUUUAGAACAUCUGGAACAAAUUUUCAAGGUGCUAUGAUAAAAGAAGUUUUAUGCUAACCUUAACAAAUGUUCUUUUGAUCUAACAAAUGCACCAAACACCUUCACAAGGGUGAUGACUCAGACUUUGAAACCUUUUUAGGCUGGUGUGUUGUCGUAUAUUUUGAUGAUAUACUUAUUUUUAGUCAGAAAAUGGAGGAACAUUUAGAACAUCUGGAAUAAAUUUUCAAGGUGCUAUGAUAAAAGAAGUUUUAUGCUAACCUUAACAAAUGUUCUUUUCUUCAAUCCAAGGUGAAUUUUUUGGGCUUUAUCAUAUUCCAACAAAAAGUUGAAACAGACCUUGAGAAGAUUCAAGCAAUCACAUAAUGGCUAGAACUAUAAUUUGUUUUUGAAGUCAAAAGCUUCCAUGGUUUAGCCACCUUUUAUUGUCGAUCUAUGCUUUUAGUACCAUCAUGGCUUCAAUCACAGAGUGUUUAAAAGCCAAAGUAUUUAAGUGGUCUUCUGCAGCAGCACAAACUUUUAAAGAUAUUAAGCAAAAGAUGAUAAAGGCUCCUAUUCUUAAACUUCCUAACUUCUCUUAGGUUUUUAAAUUUUUUUGUGAUGCAUCCCACGUGAGCAUUAAGGGUGUGCUUAGUCAAGUAGGACAUCCUAUUGCAUAUUACAGUGAAAAUCGAAUGAUACUAGGAGGAAAUACUUAGCCUAUGCCCUAGAAUUGUAUGCACUUAUUCAAACUUUAAAGCACCGAAGGCCUAACCUUAUCUAUCACGAGUUCAUUUUAUUUACCAUUACUACUUAGAGUACUUACAUUCUCAACACAAUUUGAGUGUUAAACAUGCUCAAUGGUUAAGUUAUUUACAACAAUUCAACUUUGUUAUCAAGCACAAGACUGGAUGCGAGAACAAGGUAGCAAAUGCAUUUAGUCACAGGCCUUAUCCAUUAGUCAUUCUCUCAAUAAGUCAUUCAAGUUUUGCUUCAAUGAAGAACAACUAUAGUACAAACUUAGAUUUUAAGUAAGUUUGGGAUUCUUUGCACAACAGUCCUCCUAUUCCAGUAUCAAACUAUGCAAUAAUAGAUGGCUAUUUGACUAAGGGUGGUCAUAUAUGUGUUUUUAAGAGGUCCUUAAAGAAGGUUAUUGUUCAGGAGUUGCAUGGAGCAACAAGAUAUUUCAGGCAAGAUAAAACAUCCUCUUUGGUUGCUGAUUGCUUUUAUCAAUUCCAUAAAGACCCUAGCUUGAUUAGAGUAUGGACUUUGUACUUGGCCUUCCAAAGACAGUUCGUGGUAAUGAUUCUAUCAUAGUGGUGGUAAAUUGAUUCUCCUAGAUGGUGCAUUUUGUUCCUUGAUGAAAGACCUUUAAUGCUUCUCAUAUUGCUUCUUUGUUCUUACAAGAAAUCGUACGGCUACAUGGCAUCUAGUUUCCAUUGUCUCUGACAGAGAUGUCAAAUUUGUUAGUUACUUUAAGAAAACACUUUAGGUUAAAUUAGGAAUAAAACAUCUUUUCUCUAGUGCCUUCCACCCACAUAUUGAUGGUCAAACCAAAGUUACUAAUAGAAGUCUUGGUAAUCUGCUCAAAUGCUUAACUAAUGAUCAUAUUGUAAAUUGAGAUUUAAUUUUACCAUAAGUUAAAUUUGCGUACAAUAAUUAAUGUUAAUCAAAUAACAUGUAUCACACAAUUUGAAUUGGUCUAUAGGUUUAACCCUAAGAUUCCUAUAGAUAUCACUUCCUUGCCUCUACCUCAGAAGACUAGUGAAACAAGGUUGGAUUUUGUAGUAUUUAUAUCCAAUUUACAUGAGUGUCAAGUGCAAGAUGACAUAUCAGGUUGUUAAAUAUACUACACAAGCUAAUAGACACAUGAAGGAGCUAUAUUUUGAGGAAAUGGAUUUGGUUUUAGUUAGAUUACGGCUAGGAAAGUUUCCCCCUAGAACAUACAACAAAUUGCAUACUAGGAGAGGUGGUCUAUUCAAGAUCCUUAUGAAGUUGAGAACUAAUGCCUUUUUGAUUGAUCUAAUAACAAAUUUUUAGUUUAGUCUAAUUUUCAAUAUGAAAGAUCUUACAGCUUAUUAUGGUUCUGUAUCCAUUAAGAAGUGGAGAAUCCUCUUUCAACAAUCCCUCAAGUUCAGCCAACACCAAAAGUUGUUGAUUCAAUAUUAACACUUCAACUUGUGUCUACCAGAAGAGGGGGUUAUCAUAAAUUUUUGGUGAAAUGGGCAUCCAAACCCAACUCGGAGGCAAUGUGGUUACAAGGCAGUGAAGUUCAUCACCUUUAUCCUCAAUUCCUUCAAGACUAUACCAAACAUUACUUGCCUAAGACAAGUUGCUUGGUGAGAGAGGAAAUUGAUGCAAGUUCUAAUGAUCAAGACAAGGACAUUAGAAAAAAAGUCAAAGUAAAGAAACAAAUUGAGCCUAACAAAAGGAAGAAUGAUGCUAAAGCUGAUAAUUAUAUUGAUGCAAGUUCCAAUGAAUUGAAUAUUUUGUGCAAGCUAAGAUUCCAGCAAUGCAUUUUAACAAAGCAAUGCUUAUUGACAGGAAAUAGCAGUUGAUUUCCAAUAAAUGAUGCCAAUCAUCUAAGUGGAAGUAGUAGUUAAUAUUAACUAUUCUUGUCUUUACCUAGUUAGUUUUUAGCGGUUAGGAUUUGUUUAGUUAUUAAGUAAUUAUUAUUUAAGUAACUAUUAUUUGUAAAACUAUUUAAGAUAAGAUUGUAAUUCCAUAAGGUAGGUUCUUGUGAUAAAGUUAUACUUCAAAUUGGUGAGAUUCUAUCAUGGGAAUGAUUCCUUGAGCUAUUUGUUAUUUAUUUUAUAAUUUUGAAAUUGCAAUAAAAUCCUGAGAUUCCCUUUCUUUUUUGUCUUCUUAAUCCUCUUCUGAACAAGUUAUUGAGAUAGCUUUAUUUGCAAGUUAUUGAGAUACUUCAAAUUGGUGAGAUUCUAUCAUGGGAAUGAUUCCUUGAGCUAUUUGUUACUUAUUUUAUAAUUUUGAAAUUGCAAUAAAAUCCUGAGAUUCCCUUUUUUUUUUGUCUUCUUAAUCCUCUUCUGAACAAGUUAUUGAGAUAGCUUUAUUUGCAAGCAUUUUUUUCACAAGUCCACAGUAUUGUUGGCAUUACUGUUGGCAUUAGCUAUACAUUGAUCUAGUUGAGAGUUUGUAGGAGAAAGUUUAGUAAUUAAUUUAUUCCACACCUGUAUAAGUGUUGUCUGUGGCAGGAAUCCGUAGUUUUCAAGAACACCUUCUCUGUGUAUAUAUAGGAGCAUUGUAAACUUAAAACAUUAAGCGAGUGAAUACAAAUCGAAGAACUCUUUCUUUUGUAACAUGAUAUUAGAGCGAUACAUAAAAACUAUUUUCUUUUUCCUUUAAAUUAUUGAAAGCUGUUAUUGUAACAAUAGCAACAACACAGAAGACGAUAGCAACCUCUAUUGAUUUAGUGGAACAAAAUCAACAAGGAACUACUGUUAUCCUUGAAGAUUUAACCACAAGAAUGAGUCAGGUUUUGACACAAAACCAGACCCCGACAUUUAUAGUGACAUAUGAUACUGCUACACCGAUUACUAUCAAACUUAAUGGAACCAACUACGCUCUAUGGUCCCAAAUCAUCGAGAUGUAUAUCUUAGGAAAAGACAAACUAGGAUAUAUAAAUGGUGAUCUUCCACAACCAGAUCCGAACGAUCCUACAUUCAGAAGAUGGAGGACAAAAAACUCAAUUGUAAAGGGUUGGUUGAUCAACUCGAUGGACCCCUCCUUAUCAACUUUUCGGUUUCCAACAGCAAAACAGGUAUGGGAAUCAAUUGCUACAACUUAUUUUGACGGGAAUGACAAAUCUCAGGUAUAUGAUUUGAAGAGACGGGUCACUCGAAUAAGACAAAGUGGAGAAUCCAUCGAGUCAUACUACAAUGGUCUUCAAGGCCUAUGGAGGGAAAUCGACUUUCGCUGCCCAAAUCCAAUGGAGUGCGCAAGUGAUAUACAUAAAUAUAACACCCUACUUCAAGAAGAUCGGGUUUAUGUUUUCCUUGAUGGACUAGAUGAUAGACUUGAUAAAAUUAGGAGUGAUGUACUUCAACUACAACCAUUUCCAACCGUUGAACAAGCCUAUGCCUGUGUCCGAAGAGAAGACACCAGACAAUCAGUCAUGCUCACAACCAAUGGUGGUCCUACUGCUUCAGUAAUGGCAAUUAGAAGGGGAAAAACUAGUCCACCACUACAUAUGAAAAAGAGACAAACAUGGUAUGCAGCACCGAGGGGAGGGAAACUAAAUUUUUUAAAGGUUAAGGGAUAGAUAGAGGGUGGAGGACAUGGCUGUUCUCAUUGUGGGAACGUAAAACAUACACGUGAAACUUGUUUCAAGCUGCAUGGCUACCCAAAAUGGUGGAAUGAACUCAAAGCAAAGAAACUAAAGGAAGCUAAUGGUGGAACUGGACGAGCAUCAAUAGCAUACGCAGGACCCCAACUUUCUCUUACUCCUCUUGUGGAAUCAAAAGCAGAGACUUCUAUUAAUCGCAGUGAUCAAGGUAACGACUACUAUUACAACAGCAGUGCUUUCAUAGUCUCUAAGGAACAGAGAAAAGAUGACUGGAUAGUAGACUCCGGUGCAACAUACCAUAUGACCUUUAGUCCAUAUGAUCUUGCCAAUCACACAGAACCAAGAAGAACGAGUAUUUCUAAUGCUAACGGGGUCAUGUAUCCAGUUAUAGGGGCUGGAACAGUGCACUUAUCAUCAUCGAUAUCUUUACCUAAUACUCUUUUAGUACCGUCUCUUACAAAUAAAUUACUGUCUGUAGGACAAGCUACUGAAGAAUUAAAUUGUAUAGCACUAAUAUAUCCAACAUUUUGCCUUUUUCAGGAUAUUCUCACGAAGGAGAUCAUUGGGCAUGGUACUAAGAGAGAGGAUUUAUACUACAUGGAUGAUUUCAGUUCUGGCAGAGUCAAUACGGUGAAACAUUCAUCCAGCACAAAGGAAAAACAUAUUUGGUUAUGGCAUGCUCGGUUGGGACACCCAUCAUUCAGUUAUAUGAGGUAGUUAUUUCCACAAUUAUUUUCUGGUCUGAAUUAUUUAGAGUUUAAAUGUGAGACUUGCAUUUUAGCAAAGAGCCACCGUGUACCCUUCCCCAUUAGUUUUAAUAAAAGUGAUGCUCCUUUUGCGUUGAUUCAUUCGAAUAUUUGGGGACCAUCUCCUAUCACCACGGUCCAUGGUAUAAAUUGGUUUGUGACUUUUAUAGAUGAUUGUACUCGAAUGACAUUGUUAUAUUUGCUGAAACGUAAGGACGAGGUAUUUGGUGUAUUCUGUGCCUUUCAUGCUAUGAUCCAGAACCAAUUUUCAGCAAAAAUCAGAAUCCUGAGAUCAGAUAAUGGCGGAGAAUAUGCAAACCAAGAUUUUGUGCAAUAUUUUCACAAAUAUGGUCUCCUCCAUGAAUUCUCCUGCAGCCAAACUCCACAACAAAAUGGCGUGGCCGAACGAAAGAACAGACACAUUUUGGAAACUGCCCGUGCAUUACUAAUUGGGGCACACGUACCUCACCACUACUGGGAUAAAGUUGUAGUAAAUGUUGUCCACCUACUGAAUCGCAUGCCUUCUAAGGUAUUAGAAUUCAAGACUCCAUUACAGGUUCUAUCCAAUCAUGCUCCAUUACCAUUUGUACUCAUGCUUUCCCCACGUGUAUUUGGAUGUGUAGCAUUUGUCCAUCUACAUAAAAACCAACGAAGCAAACUAGAUUCAUGUGCUGAUCGGUGCAUUUUUCUGGGGUAUGGCACAAACAAGAAGGGCUAUUGUUGCUACAAUCCUACCACAAAACAUACCUACAUCACAAUGGACAUUACAUUCUCAGAAUCUGAGAAUUAUUACUCAUCAUCAGUAUCCACUUCUCCUCUUCAGGGGGAGACAUGGAAGGAAGAACAUAAAUGGUGGGACUGCCCAGUUAUAGCACCAACAGUGACAUAAAGGGAUGCUGUAGUGAUAGAAAGGGAUGUUAUGGGUGUUGUUGAUCUUCCUGCAGAUAUUGCAGUAACAACAACACCAAUGGUAGAAAGGGAUGAUACAGUGGAUCAUGUAGCUAUAACAGAAACAGAUGUCGUAGGAAUUGUUACAAUAGACGAUGCAACAGUGCCAGAAAAUCUUGAACAUCACACGCCUAACAGACAAACCCCUCUACUUCUUAUACCCGACAAUGAUAAUUCUUCACCAGAGAAUAUCCAUAAGGUAACCUCUCCUUCUCCACCUCCUAACCAUGUUCUGGAUACUCCUGUUGGUUAUCAGUUACCUGCCAUGCAUAAUAGGGGCAAGCCCCCAGCUCGAUACCCACCCAGCACCGAAGGAAAACAAUCACAUUAUCCUAUCUCUAAUCAUGUAACUACUUAAAGGCUGCCCAAACCUCUUAGAGACUUCACCGAUAAGCUAUUUGCUUGUCAUAUCCCUUAUGAAAUUCAGGAAGCCUUGACUAAUCCUAGAUGGACACGAGCAGUAGAGGAAGAGAUGGAAGCACUAGAAAAGAACAGAAUAUGGGAACUUAUUCCGCUGCCAGAGGGGAAGAAGACAGUUGGGUGUAGAUGGAUUUUCUCCAUUAAGCACAAAGAAGAUGGAACAAUUGAGCGAUACAAAGCAAGAUUGGUAGCCAAGGGAUACACACAGACGUAUGGAGUGGACACACAGAUGUAUGGAGUGGACUUCAGGAGACAUUCUCUCCAAUAGCAAAACUAAAUACUAUCAGAGUGUUAUUAUCUUUGGCAGCAAAUUUAGAUUGGCCACUACACCAAUUUGAUGUCAAGAAUGCCUUCCUUCAAGGAGACAUUGAGGAGGAAGUGUAUAUGGACAUCCCACCGGGGUAUACCUCGUCCCCUACCGCUGGAAUUGUUUGCAGAUUACAAAAGGCUUUAUACGGGUUGAAACAAUCACCACGUGCUUGGUUUGGCAGGUUUAGUAUGGCUAUGAAAAAAUAUGGUUUUCAACAAAGCAACUCUAAUCACACUUUGUUCUUAAAACAACGACAGGAAAAGGUAACUGCCUUGAUAAUUUAUGUGGAUGACAUGAUCAUUACUAGAGACGAUACAGAAGAAAUCUAUAAGUUGCAUAAACAUUUGGCUACUGAGUUUGAGAUUAAGAGUUUAGGAGGUCUGGAGUAUUUCUUAGGGAUUGAAGUGGCUAGGUCAAAACAAGGCAUAUUUCUUUCACAGAGAAAAUAUGUGCUAGACCUACUAACCGAAGUAGGGAUGCUUGACUGCAAGCCAACCGACACCCCAAUGGUUCAGAAUCAGAAACUUGGGAUUUUUCAGAGCAAGUUCCAACUAAUAAGAAAAGCUAUCAAUGACUGGUGGGCAAAUUGAUUUAUCUAUCACAUAAUCGUCCAGAUAUUUGCUAUGCUGUCAGUAUAGUCAGCCAAUUCAUGCAUUGUCCAAGUGAAGAGCAUAUGGAUGCUGUAGUAAGAAUACUUCGUUACUUGAAAUCAGCUCCUGGAAGAGGGCUUCUAUUUUCCAAGAACAAUCAUCUAGAGGUUGAGGGGUACAUAGAUGCUGACUGGGCAAUAAGCAUAUCUGAUAGAAAAUCUAUGUCUGGAUGCUUCACGUUUAUUGGUGGCAACUUGGUCACAUGGAGGAGCAAGAAACAAAACGUAGUUGCCUUGUUAAGCACAGAGGCUGAGUUUCGAGGGAUGGCAAAGGGACUAUGUGAACUGCUUUGGCUUAGAAGAUUAUUUUCAAAAAUUGGUUUUGGUCUCAAACCAAGAAUGAACCUGUACUAUAAUAAUAAAGCUGCCAUUGAAAUAUCUCAUAACCCAGUUCAACAUGACCGCAUAAAACAUAUUAAGGUAGCCAGGCAUUUUAUUAAACAAAAUCUUGAAAGAGUGAUUAAUUUUCCAUUUGUCAGAUCAGAGAAUCAGCUCACGGAUAUCAUUGCAAAAGCCGUCUCCAGCAAAAACUUUUAGAGCUCUCUUGACAAGUUGGGCAUCGAAGACAUCUUUGCACUAACUUGAGGGGGAGUGUUGGCAUUAGCUGUACAUUGAUUUAGUUGAGAGUUUGUAUGAGAAAGUUUAGUAAUUGAUUUAUUCCACAGCUGUAUAAGUCCUGUCUAUGGCAGGAAUCCAUAGUUUUCAAGAACACCCUCUCUAUGUAUAUAUAGGAGCACUGUAAACUUAAAACAUUAAGCGAGUGAAUACAAAUUGAAGAACUCUUUCUUUUAUAACAAUUACAACACCAGGCUAAUAUCAUGCAAUCAUGACAACCCAAGAUCGCAGCUAGUGUUCUUCUACGAACUAAUUUAAAUUCCAAAUAAGAUAGACAAUAAAGAAUGCAAUUUCCAAACCAAGUUUUUCCACAGAACAUUGGUUUGUGGAUGCUAUAAAUGAAUUAUGGAUGAACUGAAUAUUAUGCAAAGUUUAAUCACAAAAGUUUAAUUAAAUGAUGCAAGAAAUCCCAAGUUAGACAAACAGAACUUCUAGAAAUAAUAGUUGGAAAGCUUUUGAACUAUACGAAAACCAAACUGAGCUUUUGACAGAAUCGUGACUUGACCAAAAUUUCCAGGUAGUGCAUGGUUUGUCAUGAAGUGCUAGUCAAUUGGAAGGCUAUGGCUACAGCAUUGCUAUUCCAAAAUGGGGCACCUGGUGAUGAUCAAUUCCUCCAGAGGCCUCUGCUUGAGGCCUUCUGGUAUUGCCUUAAGCUUGGGGCAAUCAUAGAGUGAUAAUGAGCGCAGACAUGGCAUUGUCCUCCUUGUUGCAGCUGAGGUUGUUGUUGUUGUAUCCCAAUUUUCCCACUCCACCAUAUAGCGAAAGGUGAGCUCUUUCAACUUUGGGAAUAAAACAACUGAUUCUGUAAUAGAAUUUUGAUCUGUGACAGGAUCUAUCCCAAGAAACUCAACACUAACGCAUUUUACAUUGUUGAAGUGUCCUAUCAGAAGUUUUUCUAGAGAUGGGAGUUUCCCUAAAGAAGGCAACUCCUUGCAGUUUACACAUCUGAGGAGUUUCAAAUCUUUCAUCUUUGUAAGCAAUGUCAUCCAGCUGGGCAAAAUUGAUCCACCAUAGUCGUAAACAAGUAAAGCUUCCAAGUUAGGAUGUGGUUGCAAAGCUUCAAGAACAUUUGUGAUCAGCUCUUGCCCUCCGAACGAGAAUGCUAGAUCCAAACUUCUUAGGUGCUCCUUAUUUUUCAAGUUCGCCUCCAUCACUUCAUUCACAUUUCUAACCUUCUCUAGCCCACUUAUUUCCAGAUGCCCUCUGAGAUGAUUGAGGUUUUUCAGUUCUCCAACAUUACAUCCUUCCCUAUUCUCACCAAUACAAAACUUGCUCAAAGUGCGGAGGUUACUUAAUCUCCCAAUUCCUUGUGGCAAUACGCUAAGGCUUUCGGUCUCUUCAAUAUUAAGAUAUCUCAGGUUAAUUAGCUUUCCAAGGCCUCUAGGUAGUCUAUGAAGACGUCUACAACCAUGAAGUUUUAAGGCCAGCAAAUUAUACAACUUACAGAUAGUAUCAGGCAACACUACAAAAUUCAAGCCAGAUAAAUUUAACCAUCUUAAAUGAAAAAGUCUACCAACAGCACUCGGUAGUCCGGUAAUUGAAGUAUGGCUCAAAUCCAAUCCCCUAAGGCACUGCAAGCCAUGAAAUAGAUCAGGAGGAGCUGUCUUCACAUCCUUUUGCAGGACCUGCAGUGUACGCAGAUUUUUCAGGUUGAAAAUGAUGGGAUGAAACUGUUUCUCUCUACCCGUUAAGGUCAUGUGACGGGCUUUUGUAUGCAAAGAAGCCAUCUCUAACACAUUUUUCUCAUCAAAUUCGAUAACGAAGCAUUGGUUCUUUGAAAGAAACUGGGCAAAGCUUUGCACAAUGUCAUGCAUCCUGCAAGCAACUAUGCUGAAAUCAUCCCUGUCUCUUUCCAAAUCUUGAAAGAAUGACCGCAUUACUAAGUUAUCAAAAUACUCUGCACCUAUUUGCUCCAUUUCAACACUUCCCGUUGGAACAAGGAAACCCUGAGCCAUCCAAAGCUGUAUCAAAGUGUCUCUCUCUAUCUUAUGAUCUCUAGGGAAAAUAGCACAAAAUGCAAAACACCGUUUAAUGGGGGGUGACAGGUCAUGAUAACUCAAUAACAGAUGAGGAAAAAUUCCCCUUUCAGCUUCUUCCGAUUCCCACAAUUCACUGUGAAGGACAUUCUCCCAAGCUUGUUUCGUUUCCUUGAAGCGCAUUAGACUCCCCAAGGACUUUACAGCCAGAGGCAGACCUUGGCAUUUGUCUGCAAUUUCUCUACCAAUUUCUUCUAAAUUAUCACGAUCCUCUCUGCUCUUUCCGUAGAAAGCAAAUUUACUAAACAAUGACCAAGAAUCCUCAGGAGACAAUUUACCUAGAGGGAGCAUGUAAGCAGCAUCCAUCAUUUUUGAAACUCCCUCAUUCCUUGUAGUCACUAAAAUUCUACUCCCUGGGGCUCCAGAUUUAAGGGGUACCUUUAUUGGUUCCCAUAUCCUGAAGUCAUUAGUCCAUACAUCAUCCAGCACAAGAAGGAACUUCUUUCCCAUGACAGACUUGCGCAGAUGUUCUUGCAAAUGUUGCCACAAUAUGUACGUAUGGAGUUCAUCAAAAGCAUUAAUGAUCGUUUUUGCAAUCCGGAUCCUAUCAAAAGGCUCGGAAACACACACCCAGAUUCUGUGCUCGAAAUGAGCAGUCACUUUAUCAUCACUGAACACCAACUGAGCAAGGGUUGUCUUUCCCAUGCCUCCCAUCCCAGCUAUGGAGAUAAUAAGAGGGCAGUUCUCUUCUUCGAAUUCUUCACACAGCUUACUUAUUAUAGUAUCUUUAUCGAAGUCCCGACCACAUACCUCUGAAACAUCAAUUAGAGGUGUAGUCUCCUGUCGAUCUGCUUCUUCCGUCUUGCCGUCAAUAUCAAAAUGGUACUUGUCUUUCUCAUUUGCAACCUCAUCUAGUCUUUCUUUAAUACAUUCCAUCUUGCUACCAAUAUCACGAUGCAUAACAAGUUGAUUGACACAAAAACAUGGAGAAAUAAACUUGGAGAGACGUACCAUCUUCUUGGAAAGGGAGGAAUGAUGAUGGCCCAUUAUCUCAAUUCUUUUGGGUUCACAGAUCUUGGUGUUCCAUUCAUCUAGCAAGUCAUCCAAGUCAUAAGAUAUGGCCUCAAGCUGUUCUAACCAAACCCGCACCCUCUUUUCUUUCACUUGCUUUUUCUCAGCAUCAAUGAGCACAGAUCUGAUAGCAGUGAGGGUUGUAGUAAGCUUUUCAACCUUCUUUUUCCCUCCAAGGAUUAAUGCUGACUCAUUUUCAAUGGCUGAAGUUAGCUGCUGCAAGACCUUUGAUACAAGAGCAUCAGCCAUGGUUAGCGCAGCAGGCAAUUAAUUUUGUGGUUGAUGAUGGAGGAGCAGCAAAGUGAAGAAAAAAACAUCAUAAAGUCAAUGGACACGCUUUUUUUAAAGUUUUCUUUUUACAAUAAUGCUUUGUACUUUUUCUUUAUAGCUUAGUUAAAAAAAAUGAUUACGAGUUUCAUUUUGACAUUUCAAUAAUUGAAACUUUUUACUAUUAACUAGUUGGUGAUUUUGUGGAAAAAACUUGAAAUUAAAAAAUAUUUUUUUUUUAUAAUUUUAAAUUUAAAUCAUGUAAUUGCUAAUAUAAUAGUAACUAGAGACUUACAUAAUCAUUAACUUUAAAGUCCAUGGAAUUAGUCAAAAUACGUGCAAGUUAACCCGAACACUUAAAUUAAUAAAAUAAUAAUAAUAAUAAUUAAAACUCUUUAAUUCAACCAAUUUUUUCAAAACUUUUAUUGUCAAAUUAACAAGAAAUAGAAAAUGAACCUAUCUUUUUUUUUUUCUUUUAAUAAUAGCAUAUACUUCUGCCUUGUAUUUAUUGUUUCAUUAACUUUAAGUUUCUCAUUUCUUUUUGCUAUGCAUAGCUCUUUAAAAAAAUUUGCAUAGUCAAUAACAUGUUUAAUUGCAUCUAAGAGUGAAAUAUUAUUCCACCAUUCCUAAACAAAUUUGAAAUUUCAUUCUUUUGCUUGUCUUUUAUGUGUGACCCAGAAGAACUCAAACAAAAAAGUGGAGCUAGCUUUAAAGAGGAAUUAAAAGGUUGAAAAUGAAAAUUAGUUCGGUUAUGUUUGGAGAAGUUUUAGAAUGUUCGACUGGCAAAAAAAGGGAUGGACAAAAAAAACCUCUCUUUUUUGUAAGAAAAAAACAAUCAAAGACAAGUCAGGCACACCAUGGUCAGUUUGCACCCUAGCUCCAGCUCACAACCAGCCACUAUCAAGCUUCCAUCCUAGCUCUGUCAUCAUAGUUCAUUUGUAAACUAAAACGUGUUUGAUGAUAUAACAGUGAUUAAAUUUUUAAAAUAUUUUUUAAUUUAAAAUAUAUUAAAAUAAUAUAUAUAUUUAUUUUUUUAAAAUUAUUUUUGAUAUCAAAAUAAUCUGAAAAUAUUUUAAAAAAAUAUUAAAAGGUUGAGAAUUUACCUUAGAAGGCAUGAAAAUGAAAAUUAGUUCGGUUAUGUUUUGAGAAGUUUUAGAAUGUUCGACAGGGACUGUCACAUUGUCAGCCAAUAUAUAUCUCCUUUUUUCUAUCAGCAAACACAACUUAUUCACACCUACUGCACCAGCCACAACAGCACUAACUUCACCUUCCUUCAAAUUUCCAACCAAAGAAACUAUAAACAACAGCCUCUCCCUCCGUGACCAUCACUGCCACCAGCGGUGAAAGAGGAACAACAACUCAACCUUCAUCUUUUUCCUCCUUGCCGCUACGUCCUCUCAUCAUCAUUAACAAACAACACUUCUCCUCCAGACCUGAUGGCGCAGCUGCGGGUGACAACAGCUAGCCUCAGCAACAUCACAACAUCCAACAGUAUCUUCACCAACCACACCAAUUUGGCUCUCCACAGUAACGGCAACCUCCUGGACAAGUUACAACAGCUUCAACUUCCAGUUGCAGCAGCACCAAGCUCCCAAUGGCAGCUGCACUUCCUCAACCCAACCACAAUCAACUCUUCUACACCAUGAUGGCCUCAACAACUUCUUCCUCCCAUGCAGUGCCAACAGCCCAAGCACAACAACUUCAGCCCCUGCAACGAGACCAGCAACAACGAAAGCACCGCAAGCUUCUUUCAGCAACCGUCACGAUGCUUUCCUCCCCUGCUCCAGGUAACCUUUAUUCCUCAAUAACUAUCACUUCAUGCUGCCUCUGUUUUUCUUUCAAAUGAAAGAGGGAUGGGCUAGACUCUCAACCCAACCCACGUGGUUGAGUUUGGUCCAACCACCAUGUAUUAAAAAAAAAUGUUUGGGCUGAUUACCGGCUCAAAAACCAAACCGGGCUAGGCUUGGGACUUGAGUCCAACUAGCCUAGCCCCCAGGCUAAGGGUGUGUUUGGCAAACUCAUCUUUAUGCCUAUUCCAUAGUUUUUAACUUGUUUUUAUUUUAAUUUCCAUCCAAAUAGAUUCUUAAAAAUUUCAAAAAAAUAAUCCUUUCAUUUCAAAAACAUAAAAAUAUAUUUCUUUUCAAGGAUUUCACUUAAAAUCAAGGCUGUAGAAUUAUACUAUAAGAUACUAACUCGAUAUUAAAAAUACUUGUUUUUCGUUGAAAUUUCUCAAAAAUUCCAAAACAUUUCUAGAAAAAUUUCUCAUUUCAAAAAUACAAAAAAUAUAUUUUAUUUUGUGUACAUAUAACCAAAUUCUAAAAUUUUCAUGCAUAUUUCAUACAAAAUAUCGUAUUUGGAUGCGCGGUGUUGGGGGCUUGUUGGUCGUCAACUAGAUGUUUAGUUCAGGGUCGCUAGGAAAUCUAGGUGUACUGAUCUUAUCAUAGAUUCGAGGGUAAGAGACUGGUCGUGGCUAGAGAAGUAUUAACACCCUUAGCGCACCCUACCUGAUGUAAGUUGUUUUGUGUAGUUUGAUGUGGUAUAAAGGUUUUAGUGGUUUUCUAAUCAAUGGUUUACCUAUGGUUUAUGAUUGAGAUUUACUCGUAUGAAUAAAUUCAGUGUUUAAGAAUUUAUUAUAAACUCGAGUACCCAAAUAAAUUCUUAGGAAAAAGUUUUUCUAAUCAACUCCUGAUAUUUCAAAUAAUAGUCUCACUUGUAAGUCCAAUGUUUUGUACCAAGAUUUUUAACCAUUAAUUCUCAUGAAUUAAAAUAUAGUGAUUACUGAAAUAUUGGCCAAAUUCUCAUGGAUUUAAUACAUUGGUUAUUAAAUCCUAAAAUGCAUGCAAAUAUGUAUUUUUGAAUUUUCAUAUGGAAAUACUAAUAAUAUGAAUUUUUUUUCAUAUUUUUGAGAGAUUUGACCGUAUACAAUGAAAACAAAUUGAUGAUUUUUAUCUUAAAUCUUAAUCAAUCACAAAUCAUCAUUAAACAAUCCCAAAACCAUACGCAUGAUUAAUAAUUUGUCCCCAAAACUAAUAAUUUAUCAAAUAAAUGGUUUGGGGUUAGGAAUUGACCUUCCAAGGUUGUUAGGUAAUCCCGAUAGUGCGUGAAACUACACAACAUCGCCAUUACCGACACGUGGAAUCAUGCGCUGUCUCUACUAGAGGAGGAGAACCUGGUAAAUCUGAAACUCCUCUGUCUCCUCUUUGAUUUCUCACUGAUGAUGCAACAAACAGACAAUUGUAGAAGGAGCUUCACUAUGUUGAAAUUUUAGUCUUCUUCAUGUUUUUCAGUUUAAGUCUGUCUCUUCUCCUUACUGCUGCAUUUUAAUGCUGACACUGGUGGGAGAAGAUUGUAGAUGGCCUGAAACUAUUACAUCUCCUCUUGAUUUUCUCUCUAGUAGAGCCACAAACAAAUUUCUAUAGAGGGGUUCUGCUACGUUGAAAUUUCAAUGUAUGCUCAUGUUUGUUUUCUUCACAGUUGGUUGCUACUGCCACUACUCGUGAGGUAAGCUGCUGUAGGAAAAUCCUUCAUUGUUGUAGUUGAUUGAUGAUUAAAUGAGUGCUGUUGUUGUUGUUGUUGUUGGCUGCGAGCUACCGGUUGGAUUGAUAGGCUGCUAUGUUAAAGCUGAUACCGCUGGAGUUCAUGUGAUGUAGCGUUGUUGUGCUGAAGUGUUGGAGAUGGAAGACCACUGUAGAGGUGCUCGCAGCUUCUAAGGAGAGAUUGUUGCUAAUAUUGCUCUUGAAGGAAACAAAGGACAAAUCACAGCUGUUGGGAUCCUAAAGAGCUACAUAUGCUAAAAGCUAUUGUAGUUGUUGUUUCAAUAUCAAACGGCCAAGUAUGGUUGGACUACUACGAAAUCUCUUAUAAGGAAAUCAACUAAGUUGUUGUUGUUACUUUUAUUAAACGCUCCUCAUCACCUUUAAUACUGCUUACAAGUGUUGUUGGUGACCCCAAAGUCUUUUUAGACCCCAUUAGAUAAAUCAAAAAAUCGAAUGAAAUGAUAGUCGCUGACCGGGGGGGUAUUGCUUAGCUGGUGGCGUUGUCAUGAGGAUGGUAGCUCAUGGUAGAGAUGCUCGUGGUUGCUGGAGCUGUCGCUGUUUGUCUGAUAUUGUUGAAGCCAAAGUAUCGAAGCGUUAUUAAGCUGAUUGAAUCCUUGUUGCUUGCGAGAGUUUGCUACUACUCAGGAGGUUCUACUCACAUAUGAAGUAUUGAAGUAGUUGAGGAACACAACCACUAUUACUUGAGAAGAUGAGAGAGAAGCUGCAUGAAGAAGAAAUUGUUGUCGCACGUGUGCGGCGUCGCGGCGAUCGCCCACCACCCCCCAUCAUCAGGUGUGAUAUGUCUAUCUAUUGUGGAAAAUAUGGUGAGACAAGGAAUUCUUUGUCUAUUAGCGGUGAAAAAUGGUGUGGGAGUCGCCACCUAGUAUUUUAGUCACUAGGAACCCUAACUGGUCUCAGAGAUUGGGUACGGAAGCUGGUUGCGUAAAGGAAAGGUAUUAGCACCCCAAAUACGCCCUACCUAAGGUAAGCUGCAUUGUUUUAUUGUCAAAAAAUUCUAAGGUCUUCUCAUGUUGGUCCGUCUAGGGUUUAAGAAAAGCCCUCCUCAAUAAGGAGGUUCUUAUCUUAUGGGGUAAAAAUCUAACCGGUCUAAUGUUGAUAGAGAAUUUUUAAUAUCGGGAAUACGUUUUACGUAUAAAUUCGUAAUCCCAGACAUAAAACAAAACAAAAUAUUUUUUUUAUUUUUUUUGAAAUAUUGGUCAAGUUCUCAUGACUUUAAUAAACUGGUUAUUAAAGCCAAAAUACAUGCUAGUGUGUGUGUCUAUAUAUAUAUAUAUAUAUAUAUAUAUAUAUAUAUAAUUUGAAGUUUUCUUUGUUAUAAAAAAAAAUACAAUAUGAGUUUUUUAGCUUUGAGAGACUUGGCCGUAUGCAUGGAAACAAAAGUUUUUUUUUUUGAAAACCAGGUAUUUUUAAUACCGGAUUUUUAUUUUUAUGAUAUUAAAAUACAGACCAAUCUUAGUCUAAAUGACGUAGAAAAAUCCAUGGGAAAAUCACAAAUUUUAAAAAAAUAUAGAUAUAUAACAAAAAAAAAACACACACUCAAAAAGAGAGAAAAAAAUAAAAAAAAUGGACUGGGCUGGGCCUGUAUUGGCCUAGCCACAAGGCUGGACUCAGCCCAGCCGCGUGGGCUGGGCUGAUGUUCCAACCUUUAGUUAAUAGGGCUGGACUCAGCCCAGCCAGGUGGGCUAGGCUGAUGUUCCAGCCCGGAGCAAAAAGGGACUGGACUCAGCCCAGCCGCGUGGGUUGGGCUGAUGUUCCAGCCCGCCGGAGAAGGAAAGAAACCCAUGACUGGUUACUGUGCAUGAGCACAGUAACCAGUUAAUUAAUGAGUCGGUUACUAUGCGCAUGCACAAUAACCGACUAAUUAUUUUCUUCUUGCAUGCAGAACGUGCAUAGUUCUGCAGACAAGAAGAUGAAUUAGGACCGGCGGCUAGGGGAGAAGAAGAAUUACCUGAGGCGGUGAUCUCGGGCGAUUGAGCUGGCGGUGAUGCUGGUGGCUGUUCUCGGUGGCGCUGCGGUGGCGGUGACAGUGAGACCCAGUGACAACAGCGACACUUCUUCUCCACUGUGCAGAGACACCGGUCGGCGUUUCCUUCCCCGCCGGUUUAUCCCUUCUGUUCUUUUUCUUCCUUCUCCCCGUUUGUCUCUCUCAGUUUCCUAGUCGAUAUCCCAUGUUUUUGUGUUUCUCAGUUUCGGUCGUUUCUCUCUCUACACAGUCAGUUUCUCUCUCUCAGUUUCCCCCCUUUUCUGCUGUUUUUCUCCUCUUUUCUUCUUUUCUUCUCUUCUGCGUUCGGGUGGUAUUUAUAGAGGCAGGGGGAGUCGGGUUGACCCUACCCCAUCCCAUCGCCGCCCAUGCAUGGGGUGCACGUCGCCUGCUCUGCCACGACGCCGACAGUGGUGGCCAAUGGAGGCGUCGCUUGUGGGACACAGCUGCUCUGGCAUCUCAUCAUGAGAUGGGUGGUGUCUGACUUUAGCUCUAAAGCACGUGGGAGGAAGAGACAAGGGGAAGAAAAUAAAACUUUUCUUCCCCUGCUGCACGUCCAGGGGAGGAAGAAGAAGAAACAAUACCGCCUUAAAACGGCACCGUUUCGUCCUUUUUUUUUCAAACGCAUGAAACAUCGUCGUUUUGCUUAAAACACGCCGUUUCAUUUAAAUGAAAACUGGCGCCAAAGCGCCAGAUUUCAAGCCAAUCAUUCAAUUUGCGCGCAUUUUGCAUUUUGGUCUUUGGUCUCAAAUUUCUUCAAUUAAGUCCCCAAGUGGCCAUCAAACUUCAAUAUUUAUGCAAUUAAGCCUCUGAUUUGACCAAAUUAACUCUCAAAAAUUAUAAUUUGACCCCAGAACUUUAAUUUCUUCCAAUUAAAGCCCAAAUUAACUCCAAAAUCAAUUUUUCUUUCAAUUAAACUCUCCAUAAAUUCAAUUAAAGCAAUAUAAUUUAAUUGAGUCCAUCAACAUUUGAUUUUGGACUUUUCUUUCUCAAAUUGAAUUUUCUUUGUCAACAGGGCUAUCAUCAGUUAAUAAAAUACUGUUAAAUUUUAAUUUUUGUAUUUUUAAACCUUCUCAACCAAAUUUUGACUAUUUUCUGAGCGUCUUGGCAUCCUCUUUUCACUGUUAUAUUUUUUGAUAAUAUUUUUUUGAUUUUUUUGUAUUAUUUGUUUUAAGAGAGAAUUGGGGAAUAACUCAAAAAUGGGUUAUGACAGUUGCCCCCCUCUUUACAAUACUUACGGAGCAAAGAUUUUGCGUAGUAAGUUUUAUAAAGAAGAAAAAAAGAAAAAAAGAAAACGAUCACAUUAUUUUGGGCAAUCUGCCCCUUUUGAAGAAAAUUGGUCUGUCGACUUGCCCACACACUCACACUUACCCUGGUCUAUUUUCAUGGGCGACCUGCCCACACAUAUUCAAAGUGGUCUAUUUUCAUAGGCGACCAGCCCACACACUCACGCUUACCCUGGUCUAUUUUCAUGGGCGACCUGCCCAAGUAAAAAAAUGAAGAGUGGUCUCAUUGUAAUGGAUAACCUACUCAGAUAAAAAAAAAUAUGGAGAAUGGUCGAGUUGUAAUGGGUGACCUACCCAAAAAUGAAAAAAAAAAAAGAGUGGUCGUGUUGUAAUGGGUGACUUACCCAAGUGGAGGAAUGGUCUCAUUGUAAUGGGUGACCUACCCAGAUAAAAACAUGGAGAAUGGUCGAGUUGUAAUGGGUGACCUACCCAAAAAUAGAAAAAAGAAAGAGUGAUCGUGUUGUAAUGGGUGACCUACCUAAAAAUGAAAAAAAGGAAGAAUGAUCGUGUUGUAAUGGGUGACCUACCCAGGUGGAAGAAUGAUCUCAUUGUAAUGAGUGACCUACCUAGAUAAAAAAAACAUGGAGAAUGGUCGAGUUGUAAUGGGUGACCUACCCAGGUGGAAGAAUGGUCUCAUUGUAAUGGGUGACCUACCCAGGUGGAAGAAUGGUCUCAUUGUAAUGGGUGACCUACCCAGAUAAAAAUAAAUAUGGAGAAUUGGUCGCGUUGUAAUGGGUGACCUACCUAGAAAAAAUGUUAGUCUCAUUGUAAUGGGUGACCUACCCAAGGAAAAAGAAAAGAGUGGUCUCAUUGUAAUGGGUGACCUACCCAGGUGGAAGAUUGGCCUCAUUGUAAUGGGUGACCUACCCAGAUAAAAAAACAUGGAGAAUUGGUCACGUUGUAAUGGGUGACCUACCUAGAAAAAAUGCAAAAGGCACCAAACUAUAGGGGCUUAAUUGACAAAAAUUAGGGGUAAAAUUGAAGAAAUUGAAAGUUUAAUGGUCAAUUAAGGGUUAAAUUGCAUAAAACCAAGACCACGGACUAAAGUGCAAAAGGCGCGUAAAUAUGGGGUUCAAAUUGAAGCUCGGCAAGGGCUAAUUUGCAUUAAAUCAAAAGUUUAAGGUCAAUUAGGGAUUCAAUUGAACGAAAUUGAAAGAUAAAGGACUACAUUGAAGUUGGACAAAACUCCCUAAUUUAACCCUAAACGACGCCCUUUUUCAUUUAAAAAAAAAACCUGGCGACACGUUGUCUGGUAACUGUUCAUUGUCUUCUCCAAAUUUGCCCGAAAAUGACAUCUCAGGAAGCUACUUUUAAGGUGCAUUUAAUACCUUAUAUGUCCACCAAAAUUGACAACACAUGUACCAAAAUGGUCACCUAACAUCCCUCUAUCUCCGAGUAUGGUCCAUUCAGGCCUCUUAACAUGACAUCGGCCCCAGCGCUGGCCUAAAGAAGCCAACUAAGGCAGCCUUUCUUAUAGAUUUGACAACUCACGAUGCACACUUUGAACCAAUGGUUGGGAUCCUUUCCAGCCAAACCAAAGGCCACGAAUUGGCACCAUUAAAGACAAAAUGUCCCUCUUCCACCUCCUAUAAAUAGAGGUUCAUUUCAUGGCCUAAGCAAGAAGAAAAUCAGGUACAAAAAUCAUAAAAAACCAGCCAUUCCCUUGUUUUCAUUUUCCUUCUUUCCCUGUCAGCCUUCUGCGGCAUCUUUCACAACUGCCUUCUCUGGUGAGAAUACCAACAAACCCAGCCUGUACACCACCACGAACACCAGCUCCACCAAAGGAAGCUAACACAACCACCAACCGGCUACCAAGCAACCACCAUGACUCUCUCCCUCUUCUCUUUCCAGCCUUUCUCUCUUCUCUGCAAACUUUUUCUUCCUAUAUAGUAGAACACUGGUGACCAAACUCUCCAUCAACACAACCACCAGCCUCUUGUCAACCACCUAGAUAGCAACUCCUUCUCCUCUGCCAGGUUGCCUCCCACUUCACUCCGCCGUUUGCAACAACAAAGUUGCAUGCAAAACGUGAACUUAUUAUUCACGUUCUGCAAAUAAUUCACUUCUCACCUGGGUCGGGCCAGUUCUGGCCUAGCCCAAAUGUCUUGGCCCAGCUAUCUAGGUCGGCCCAGCCCACAUGUUAUAUAUAUAUUAAAUAAAAAAACAAAACAAAAAAAUCCAAAAUUUUUCAAAAAUCAGUUCAAAAAAAUUUUGAUUUUCUCAAAUCUUUUUCUACCAAUUUUGCAUAAUAUCGGGUUGUAUAUUUACACUGUAAAAUACAGAUCUGUUAUUAAAAUAUUUUGUUUUCUCUGAAGUAUUUCAAAAAAAUUCAAAACAUUUUUUAAAAAAUCUCUAAAAGAAAAAACUUUAAAAUGAAUUUUCUUUUUCAAUUUUUUUUUAUUUUUAUACAUACAACCAAAUCCUAAAAUUUUUCAAAGCAUAUUUUUCAUAAAAAACAAAAAUUGCAUCUUUUUCAUGAUUUAAAAAAAAUUCAAAAAUGGAUAUCGUAACCAUUUUAUGAUUAUCCAUUAGGAUUCGACCAAAAUGUCAAAAACAUUUUUUUUCUCCAAUUUGUUUUUCAGAUGUAGACUUUAAUAUCUGUAGGGUGUAAAAUUACACGAUAAAAUACACCUUUAGAUAUUAAAGAUACAAGGUGUAAAUAAAUGUGAUGCUAAAAUUCAGACUUUAGAAUGGUUAGGAUUUAAUCCAAUAAGGUAGAGACUUUCUCAUGAAGUGAGAUCUAUCUUAAACGUUAGAAAAGACCAAUGAAUAGAAACCCAACCUAGAAAAACAACUAAACAAUAAUGCAGCUUACCUUAGGUAGGGUGCACUGGAGGUGAUGCGUCUUCCCCUUGCACAACCAGUCCCUUACCCAGACUUUUGUAGACCAUAGGUUCCUAGUAACCAUAAUAUUAGAUGGCGACUCCUAAACAUUAAUAAUAAUUUUAUGAUUAAAUUCAAAAACCCUUCCCAAUGCACCACACCUCAUCGGGAGGCAUGACAAAAGCGUCCACCAACCCUAGACGACGUUGCGGUGCGACCUCGUGACAAUGAGGAUGACAUUGGUGCCUAAUUUUGAGGAGGAUAAAGAGGCUAUUAUGACUAAAUUCAUGAAUGACCUUAAUCGUGAUAUAACAUAUAUUAUGGAGUUACAACAUUAUUUAGAGUUUGAGGUGAUGGUGCAUGUGGUUUUGAAAAUGGAGAAACAACUUAAAUAGAAGGUUAUCAUUUGAAAAAGCCAACCAUUAGGCCAUUUGACACCUUGAAGAAAACUGACACUGAGGUUGGUUCAUCACAGUUGAAUAAGAAGGGUAAGGUUGAAUACCUUAGAAAGAAGAAAGAUAUCUUGGUCAUUGGUAAAGGUAUUAAGGAUAUUCGUACUUCUCGUAAUCGUGAUAUUAAAUGCUUUUGUUAUUUGGGUUUUGUUCAUGUUGCUUCAUAGUGUCCAAACAAAAGAGUCAUGGUUAUGAAAGCAACUAAUAAGGUGAGACUAAUAAGGAGGAUGAAGAUGUCACCAUUAACAGAUGCUGAUGAUGUUUGUGUUGAGUAUCUGAUUAAGAAAGAGACACUUGUGGUGAGGAGAGCAUUGAAUAUGCAUGUCAAAGUGGAUGAUUUGAAAGAUCAAAAGGAGAACAUAUUCCGAGUGAGAUGCCAUGUUCAGAAUAAGGUGUGUAGCUUAAUAAUAGAUCGUGAUAGUUGCACUAAUGUAGUUAAUACUGAAUUGGUGAAAAAGUUUAACUUGCACACAAUCAAACAUCUCAUACCUUAUAAAUUACAAUAGUUGAAUGAUAAUGGUGAGGUGAAGGUGAAUAAUUUUUUUAUAUAUUGUUAAAUAUUGUGAUGAGGUAUUAUGUGACCAUUAUGCCAAUGCGAGCUAGUUAUUUGUUGUUUGGUAGACUAUGAUAAUAUGAUAGUAGAGUUAUGCAUUAUGGAUUGAUAAAUAGAUAUUCCUUUGAAAUGAAUGAAAGGCCUAUAAUUCUUGUGCCUUUGACACCUAAGCAAAUAUAUGAUGAGCAAAUAAAAUUAAAGACGGGGAAGAUGGGUGAAAAAAAGAAAUUAUAUACCAACAAGACCUUUUUUGCUAAUAAAGUUCUUUCAGGAUUUGAUGAUAAUGUUAUUUUUUGAUUUAGUACUGAUUUGUUUUAUUUAGGGGAUGAUCUUCGUAUUAUAGAUUCGAAGAUGAAUAUUUUCAAAGAGGGAGGAGAAGAUACAAACCAAGUUAGGUACUAUUUUUUCCUUAAAAUACUUAUUGAUCAAUUUUGCGAAAUUAGAUAUAUCUCUCAAACUGUAUAUCAAAUCAAGCUAAAAUUUUAUAGGAAGAUACUAAAAAUAUGGAACUAUAUUUUGAUAAAUUUCAGGUCAAUAAGAUUUUGAAAAAAAUAUUAUUUAAACUGGUCAAAGUUGUUGUUACUGUCUUGAUAGAUUCAUCGAUAAAGUGUUUUUUCUUAACUAUUUUUGGCUUAAUCAGUCCAGACCAGUAAUGGGUUAAUUUUAGACAAAGAAAGAAAUUAAACGAGGCUUAUUUAGGCCUUAAGCUGGUUCUGGGCAUGGGAUACAAAGGUUGCUAAUAUGGCUUAGAUUCAUUGAAGAAUUGAAGUGUAACACUCUGUAAUUUAGUACAAUUUCACAUGGACUUGAUAUGACAACAUCUAAGGAGAUCUUUCUUUUAGGUUUCUUUUUCUUAUUUUGUUGGUAUUCCUAGAACAUCAAGGAGACUAAGAGUAGGCAACAUAAAGAAGGAAAUUCUAGCAAUCAAAACAAAGUUUCCUAUUUGAAUACCUACACUAAAAGUUUUGGCCAAAACACUACCUAGAAGAGCUUGGAGAUUCCAGCUACAUGGAUAAAUUCUAGUAUGAAGACUUUAUUUUUAGUAUCCUAUUUUAUUUAUUUGAUGUUGAAGAAUUAUUUUUAAUUUGGGUUUGUUCUAACCCAUUAGACUUUGUUUAAGAGUUUAUUUCAUUAUUGGCCUUAUGUUAGUUGAUUCCUAGUUUAGACCCAUUAGUUUAUAACUCAAAAGGGGUCCAUUAUAGUUAUUUAAAGGAGACUAUAUAAUGUUUUUGGAGCUGCAAAUCUUAGAAGCUUGAUGAUAAUAAACGUGAGUUUUUUUUAUUAUUAUUGUUUGUGGUAAAACAUCCUUUCUUUGCAUGGACAAAAAUCAUCCAUUCGACUUAUUAAAGAUUAACUGAGUUCAUGAUGUCAUUCGCAUACUUCUGUCUUUUAAGUACAAGGUUAUAUUUGGAUCCAAGUUUAUUCUAAUACCUUUGGUUAAUGUAUAAGGUUACCUCUGGUUCAGAGUUCUAUCAAACCUGGUUUUUAGCUUUUCAAGUUGUAUUUCAACUUUGUUAGGAGUUAUUUGACCACGUGAUUAAGAGUUUUACAUCAAUAUGUUUCUAAGCCUUAUGGGAUUUAACUUCAAUCUAUCUCCUAGAUACUCGUUCAUAAAAAAAAUAAUCCUAUAAUAAUGCAAUCCAAACAACACUAAAGGAUCUAUUAGAGGUUUCAGUUGGUACAGUGACAAGGCUUAAGGCUAAGAGGUUUAAAGAGGCUUUCAACGGACUUCUUUGAGAUACAUGGGCUAAGGUGGAAUUUAAAAGGGUAAUGAAUAAUAAAGAGCAAGCCUUGAUUAAUAUAAUUCAUGUUCAAGAAGGGCUUGUUGGUGGAACCAAGGCCAUUACACAAGGAUUGAAAUAAGAAGACUCAAAUCGGACAGUUUGAUCUUUCGAUAUAGUUUUGAUCAUAACUGGAGCUGCAAAGUCGAUUUUGAUUAUAUUCUUGUUAGGCUGGAAACUAGAUUUCCAUACAUUUUCAAUUAUAUAUGGAACACCAUUAAUUCUUUAAGAUGAGAUAAAACUAUUCGUUUAAAGUUGAUCUUUGAUGCUGCCAGUAGAUUACGAGAAAAACCGAUCUUGUCUUAUUUUAAUUAGAUGAGCUAUUGAUCUAUCUUUGUUUUGUGCGACAAUACUUGUUUAAGUUUCAAGCUUGUUUAUUUUAUUUAUUUUAAUUAGUAUAUGCUAGUUUUAGAUUGGUUUGGGUAUUAUUUAAACUGAGUUUAUAUGUAACCCAUUAGAGAAACUAGAGUUACUUAGCUUUCUAGUAGAAGUACUCUUUGUGAAGAAUUCUUCAAGAAUAGAUUUUUUUUUCAGAAUAAAAUAUUGUCUCUCUUGUUUCUUGAUUGAACUUUAACUCUUUAAAGAAUUGAUCAAUCUUUGUUAUUGAUUUUAUACUUUUUUUGCUCGUCUCUAGGAGUAAGCGUUGUGAUAGGGUGAUUUAUAGUUUUGUUGCCUUGGAGUAAAUCUUUCAUUAUGAUAAGCUCAAUUUCAUACUCAAACUUGAAUUAGAUGGAUCUUGGGUUUGUGAAUUCUAUUAAGUUCCGCUAGACUUCAUCAUAUGAUCAUGAACACAUUAAUUCUCAUUAUUUAGAAAUGUACAAAUUAUAAAUAAUUAAUUAAAAAAAUUGAGAGUUAUGUUUAGUUAAAUGUUGAAUUUUUUUUAUUAACUCAUAAAACUAAAACUACAUUUAUAUCCACAAUCUUUUUUUUCUCAGUGCAUAAGAUGUGAGACUUCGCUUGGUUGGUUAUUUUGAUGACUAGCUGAUGUGAGACUUGUGGUAGUUUUUAUGGUUGUGGUUUGAAAAAAAUUAUUUUAUAAAAAAAACUUUUAGUUGAGGUUGGUUUAGUAAAAUAUAUGUUUGGUUUAAACUGUGGUUGAAAUUGAGGUUAAACAAAAAAUAGUUUAAUAUGUUUGGUUAAGAAUGCUUUUCAAAUUGAGGUUAUAAAAUAAUUAAAAAAGACAUAUAUUAAUAUUAAUAGUUUUUAAUUGAAAUAUUAUAGAUUUAAUUAAAUUUAUACAACUAUUUCAUUCUACUUUAUUAUUUAAUAAAUUAAAAAACUGGUUUUUUGUUGUUGACAUCAAGCACACUGGAUGCAGUUCUAUUCAAACACAAACAUUUUAGAUCUAAUUUAUAGCUUUUUUUUAUUUAUACGGUUGGUUCUUGAAGAAAUGAAAAUUAUGAAGGUUGUUUUGGUUGGUGUCUUCAACAAUAAACAUGAAGCAGCUAAAAUAAAAAACGCAGGACUGGAAGCAUGUAAAAAUUGCUUCAUCAAAAUCUCAUUUAUUGAUGGAUCCCAUAAACCAAACCACAGUAUUAUUUUGUAACCUAACACUAUAUAAUUGAGGUUAGGGAAAAACGUGAUAGUUGCUGCGGAAACAAUUCUCUCAGUAUGUGAAAAUUAACUUAAUUAAAUUUUAUUAAUCCAAUAAGUCAAUCCAAGACUCAAUUAACCUUGUCAAAUUCUAGUUUAAUUAAAAAAAAUUACAUUAUUUUAACUUUUUUUUAACUGAUUCAUAAAAGCCCGAUUAACCUACUCAAUUAACCUUGUCAAAUUCUAGUUUAAUUUAAAAAAAAAUUACAUUAUUUUAACUUUUUUUUAAAUUAACCUACUCAAUUCAAUUCAUGACUUUAACAGAGUCAUACACGGAACCAACGAAAACAGGAAUUAUGAAGCAUUAAUGCCGACUAGGUAGGAAAGAGAAUGGUCCCUGCCAUUAAUAUUGGGUUGGCUAAAACUCUGUUAUUGUAGUGCACAAGUCACCGCCCUCUAACAACCAUUUUCCUAGUUGAAAUCGUCUUCUAGAAAUUAUGUACAUGCCAGUAGCUCUUCCGCUACCGAAUUUUUUAUUUCAAGCUGAAUAAUUAGUUACUGAAUUAGUUGAGUUGGUGCCAGCCAUAGUAAUUGGCAGCACACUCUAGCUAGCACUAACACAUUACACCCUUUUCUUCUCAAUCUAUAUAUAAAUACCAAACCUUUGUUUUCACUUCGUCACCCAUCUUUUCAUAUCCUUCUCUUCAUUGUUUGCUUUAGAAAAAAUCAUGGAAGUUCUCACAUUCACUGAGGAGUUCUCCAGCCCCGCCGCGGCUAAAAGGUUGUUCACGGCCAUGGUACUUGAGGCUGACACCCUCAUUCCCAAGCUCGUGCCGCAGGCUGUGAAGAGUAUUGAAACAAUCAAAGGAAAUGGAGGCCCUGGGACUAUCAAGAAGUUGACCUUUGCCGAAGGCUAGUUACUUUUCACUUUUUUAUUCAGUAGAACAAAAUAUUUAAUUAAUUGCAACAUAAGGAGAAGUACACAUUGACAAAAUUGUCAUCUUUGUUCCUUUUCUUAUGCAGGUAAGUAUGCGAAGACCAGGAUUGAUGCAGUGGACAAAGUCAACCUGACUCAUAGCUACACAACAAUUGAGGGUGUUCCUUUGCUGGGCAAAUUUGAAUCAAUUGCUUAUGAUAUGAAGUUUGAGGCCACCCCUGAAGGAGGAUGCAAAACUAAAGUGGUGUGCAAGUAUUUCCCAAAACCAGGUGCUGAAAUAAAGGAAGAGGAAAUUAAGGAAGGCAAGGAAAAGGCUGCAGCAGUUUACAAGGCUGUGGAAACCUACGUAGUUGCAAAUCCUCAGGCCUACGCAUAAUGAGACUGCGAUGAGACACUCCGAGACACCACUUAGCGAUGCAUUAGACUAUCUAAUCACUAUAGUCUUGCCAAAUAAAAGUAGCUUCUGCCAAUUUCUAAUAAAUAAUAACUAUGAAAGCAAGUGUUUUACAUCUUUUCAAUUCCUGAAAGAAAAUUCCCAUAAUGCUUUGUGUGUGAAGGGUAUGCUCACACUGUAUAGGAAAAAAAUUGACUUCACUACACAUGCAAAACUCUCUCUUUAUCAUAUGUUACCAUUAAAAAAAUUCGAUGUGGACUAAAUUGUAAUAGUAGUUGUUGAUGCUUUUUUGUAGAAUGAAUGCUUGUUGCUUCACGGGAAAGAUCGAUUAAUUUUAAGAAUAAAUGGUUUGUCUCUUUUAAUUCUAACACUACCUCAAAGUUUCAAAAAUGAAAUCUACUUUUGUGAUUCAUCUCUAGAUUCAUUGAAUUUCAGUAAGAAAUAAAAUAUAAUAUAUCAAUUAAAGGUAAUAAUCUCGGAGGGUUUAUAAUUAUAUCAAUUAAAGGAAUUUUUAAAAACUUGGAGGGGAUGUGGCCUCCUUUAGUCUAUACUAGUAUAUUGCCCCGCGCUUUGUCACAGGUUAAUAUUAAAUUUUUUUUAAAUGUAAAAAAAUAUAUUAAAUAUAUAAAGAAUGUUUUAAGCGUUUUAAGUUUGACAAUCAUAUAUGACCCAAGUCUUUUAAGUCUGACAGUCAUGCAAAACCCAAGUACCUCGAAUCUGGCAUGGGUGGCAGACCCAAGAAACUCGGGGCUGGUAUGGUUUGCCACCCUAAGACGCUUUAAUCUGGACCCAUGCGUCUAGGCCUAGCAAUCAUACUAGACCCGCGCGUCUGGGUUUGACAACCAUAUCUUUUCUUUCAAAUUCGUUAAGUCUUCCAUUCUGGAGGGCUCCAUAUCUUUUCUUCCUAACAGCAUGUGAUGAAAUGAUGGACUCUUUCAUAUAACAAUAGAUGUCAUACAGUUGGGUAGAAGAAGCACUUAAAAAACUAAAUAAAUUGUAUAAUGAAACUAAACACAUAUAGUCCAGUGUUGUUAAAAAAAUAUAAAAUAAUAUUGUCAUCGGUGAAAAAUCACAAGCGACCGCCCAUUAAAUAAAUGUUUUUUUGCAUUGAGUUUGAUUAAUGUGUGUAUAUAUAUAUAUAUAUAUAUAUAUAUAUAAUAAAAAUUCACAAAAAAGAGAGAAAAAAAGAGAAGAUAUAAUUUCUAUUAAAGUAAUAACAAAUUCAUAAACAUAAAAAACAAACGAUUUCAAUCGGAAGACAUGAUUUGAAUUUUUAGAUCUAAAACGUUAGAUUAGAUUUUUGUGAUGAUUUGUUGUUUAUAAAUAAAUUCUGCACUUGGAUUUCUGUUAAGAAUAUUUUAAGGAUACUUUAAAUGUUUUUUUAUAAAAAAUAAAAAAAUUAUAAGUCUCAACAUUUUAAUUAUCACCUACUCAGAUUCUGAUAAGCACUACACCUGAUUCAUAUAUAUAUAUAUUAAAUAGGCCUGGACCCGAGCCCAGACACACCUUAACAAAGCUACCAAAGUCGCUUGGACCUGGCAUGGCUGCCACACCUAAGGCUCUUGGGUCUGGCAAGCAUGUCAGGCUUAAUUUUCUUGGGUCAGACACCAUGCAUGGUUGCCAAACCGCACCUGGGUAUGGCAUCAAACAUGGUUUACCAGACCCAAGGUUGUUGAGUCUCGCAUUGUUGCCAUACCCAAGUAGCUUAGGUCUGGCGUGGUUGGUUUACCCAAGGUACUUGGGUCUGGCAACUCAUGUCAAAUACAAGCAAACAACAAACAAACAAAGAAUAAAAUGAUGUAUUUUAAUUAUUUAACAGUGUUAAAGGUCAAAAAACCCCUUGACAACGAGUCUUAAUUUUGUUAACCAUGGGGAUAGAAUACUAUUUUUACUAUGCAAAUAAUCGUCAAAAGAUUAUCAUACCUUCACUGAAAUGUUUAAUAUCAAUGAGUCUAUAAGAAAUACUAAAAUACGCCCACAACUAGAGCUUCAAUUUUUUCAACCAAUGGGGAAAAUAAAACUUUAACUUUAUAUGAAAAGAUAAUAUUAGCUCCAUCCCAAGUCUUCAGAGCUUAAAAAAUCCACUAUGCAAGUCUACAAUGGACUUUGUCUUAGUCCACAAUACACUUGCACAAGAUUGCUAACCCCACAAAGCUUGGGUCUAGCAACCAUGCCAGACCUGCGCCUGAGUCUGGCACCAAACAUGGUUGCCAGCCCCCGCCUGGGUCUAUCACCAAACAUGGUAGUCAGACCUAAGAACCUUGGGUCUUGCAUGUUUUUUAGACCCAAGGUGCUUGGGUUGCCAGACCGAAACAAAUAACAAAUAAACAAAAAAUAAUUGUGUAAUUUAGUUGUUAGGAGAGAGAAAAAAAGAAAAAACACAAACAAUCGAUCAUUGACGACAAUUCAACCAUGAUAUGUCUACAUGCACCGUACCAUAUGGAAAAGGGCACAUCUGCGCAUCUAGUUAUAUGGUGGAUGGCUAGAUUUGGCAACCGAGAAGCAUCUCACACGCCUCCUUAAUGGUGCGAGUGUCGCCCACUCACUGGGUCAUGUGGAACAUGCGACAAUAGCUUUUCAAUUAAAAAAUAAAAAAUACAACGUAAAAAUACUAAAACGUCCCCAUGGUCCUCUUAAUUACACAACAUACCCAUGUAAAUUUCACGAUCGCAAUCCACAAUAAUCUGUGUCUAAAGCUACAAAGAAAACCCCACACUAUUUAGCUUUCUUUACAAUUAUGCUUGCCUCUAAAUAGAAGGCGACAGUUGUAGUAGUAAAAGUAGGGUGAAGAUAACAUUUAUUGCAAUUAUAAUGGUUGAAAUAGUUUUUAUACUUGUUGAAAUAGUUUGAAAUACAUGUCAUACGGUGACAUCGAGGGCUUGUUGUAAAAAUCAAUGGAAUCACCAUUUAAAUUUUUCACUGUAAAAAUUUAGAAAGUAAACGCUACCAGAAAUUCGCUAAAUACCAACGGAUUUACCGACGGAAUAUUUCGGUCGGUAAUUUGAGGUCGGAAUUACCGACGGAAACUUUUCCGUCCGUAAUUCAGUCGGUAACUACCGACGAAAACUUUUUCGUCCGUAAUUCUGUCGGUAACUACCGACGGAAAUAUUCCGUCGGUAGUUACCAACGGAAUUACGGACGGAAAAGUUUCCGAAUUAAAAAAAAGGCGGGUCGCUGAAGUGGAGGUUUUGGCGGGUCAUUUUUUUCCGACGACAUCACCGACGGAUUCAAAAACGACAGCCCGUACAGUGACGUGACCGGUGCGCUGUUUACAUUACCGACGGACUCACCGAGGGAUUUGAAAUGGCAGAUCCGUACGGUGACGUGUCUAUGUUUCCGUCAGAAUCACAGACGUGAUCACCGACGGAAUAUCCGUCGGUGAAUCCGUCGGUAAAAGUUAAUAUAUGUCAUCUCUGCCGACCCUCUCCUCCCCUAUUUUUCCUUCUUCUUCUUCCUAAUCCCAACUCUCCCCAUCUGCAAACAACCAGCCCCCCCUCCCCCCUAAAAAAAAGUCUUCCUCAUAUCAGCACAACAAGUUAUAUUUCUUGAAGUUUUGUGGUCACAGCAUCCGUGUUCUGAUUUACCGAAGGAUUUUAUCAAUUUUUGUAAGUAAUUCUUUCUUUUUAAAUUUUAAUAUUUAAUUAAAUGUCAAUUAUAUUUUAUCAUUUUUUUAGUAUAUGUAUUUUGUUAGCAAAUGUACAUGUUUUAUUGUUAUUUCUCAAACAAACUUGUAGUAUAUGAAUAUAUAAUUCUAUACCUGUUAUGGUUUGUUUUAGAUUUUGUAAGAUUGUAUUUGUUUGUAAACUGUUAAAACUUUAUGGAACUACCGAAGUACAUGUGCUGUUUUGAAAUAAUUAAUAGCUUACUUAAUGGGUCCGUUUAAAGUUUUGUCAAUGGUAUUGCGGAGUGGUAAUUUCUGUAAAUUUAUAUAUUUUAAUUUGAAUGGACGUUGAUAAAUGAUAAUGAAUAUUUAAUAUUUAUGAGAAGUUGUGAUUGGUUUGUUGGAUAAUCUCGAGGUAAAGUAAUAUUUUUGCAAGUUUAUUUACCUAACUUAGUUAAUUAAUACAUUAUGUCAUCAUAAUUUUAUAGAGGUUCGAUAUAAAUCAUGGAUGAUCGUUCAUGGAUGUAUCGAGAUUCACCCCAAGGAUUGCGGAGGAUGGAUUAUUGUAACGGGGUUCAGGGUUUUAUUAAUUUCGCAAUAUCUAUUCCUAGAAAUUUUACUGGAGGCGGAAUUAGGUGUCCAUGCAGGAAGUGUGAAAAUAAAAAGUAUCUGCAUCAAGAUGUUGUAAUGAUGCAUCUUCUACACAAAGGGUUUAUAGAGAAUUACCAGUGUUGGUAUGCACAUGGAGAAGUAUUUGUUAGCGAGAGUGAGAGGAGAAUGGAAGAAACGGUGGUUGGGUCUACUUCUAGUGCAAGCAACGCCGUGCAUGAAGCGGCAAAUGACAACACUAAUCCUUACAGAAAUAUGGUUAUGGAUGCAAUGAGAAUGAAUCAAGGUAAUGGCAGUCAAUGUCCAAUCAUAGAAGAAGAACCUAAUGCAGAUGCAGCUAGGUUUUUUGAUUUGUUGAAAGAUUCUAACGAACCAUUAUGGGAUGGCUGCACGAACCACAGUAAAUUAUCGGUCGUAGCACAGGUGUUCACCAUCAAGUCAGAUCACGGGUUGAGUGAGGCCGGGUAUGACAAGAUUAUUGAAUGGGCAAGAAGCAUUUUACCUGAAGGGAACAAGCUGAAAGAGAACUUCUAUGCUGCGAAGUCCAUGAUGAAACCCCUCGGUUUAGGAUACCAAAAAAUUGACAUGUGCCCUAACUUCUGCAUGUUAUACUACCUUGAAAAUGCUGAGAUGACCGAGUGCAUGACAUGCGGGCAUUCCCAUUACAAACCUAGAACUGGCAGGGGAAAGACUCUAGUGGCAUAUAAAAAACUUAGAUACUUCCCGAUCACACCUAGACUGCAGAGGUUAUUCAUGUCACCAAGGACUGCUGAGCACAUGACAUGGCACCAAGCACACCAUGCGGUUGAUGGAGUGAUGGUUCAUCCUUCUAACGGCGAAGCGUGGAAACUUUUUAACAGUGUUCAUCCUCACUUUUCAGCUGAAUCAAGGAAUGUGCGUCUUGGGUUGUGUACAGACGGAUUCAACCCAUUUGGGUCAUUUGCUGCUCCUUAUUCUUGUUGGCCGGUCAUACUCACAGUUUAUAACUUGCCACCGGGAAUGUGUAUGAGGCUGGAGUUCAUGUUUUUAUCUACUGUCAUACCCGGUCCAAGAAGCUCGGGGCAGAAUAUAGAUGUUUGUCUUCGACCGUUGAUUGAUGAGUUGGCGCAGUUGUGGUCCUCCGGAGCUCUGACUUAUGAUAUAUCGAGGAAACAAAAUUUCCUUAUGAGGGCGGCAUUGAUGUGGACUAUCAAUGAUUUUCCAGCUUAUGGAAUGCUUUCUGGUUGGAGCACGCAUGGGAAACUCGCAUGUCCAUACUGCAUGGAAAACAACAAGGCAUUCACGCUAGCAAAUGGAGGUAAAGCUUCUUUUUUUGACUGUCACCGUCGCUUCUUGCCACUUCAUCACAGGUACAGAAAGAACAGAAAAGAUUUUUUUGUUGGCAGAGUUGAAAAAGAUGUUGCAUCCCCGCGUCUUUCUGGUGAAGAAUUGCAUGAUGUUGUCUCAGAGUACGGUGACAUUGUGUUUGGCCUUCAAUCAAGUAAGCAAAAGUUUCCUGGUUUUGGUUUGACCCAUAAUUGGGUAAAGCGAAUUAUCUUUUUUGAGCUUUCUUAUUGGAAGACCAAUCUGCUCCGCCAUAACCUUGACGUCAUGCACAUCGAAAAGAACAUGUUUGAGAAUAUUUUCAACACCGUCAUGGAUGUGAAGGGGAAGACAAAGGACAACAUCAAGGCUAGAUUGGAUAUAGCUUUAUAUUGUAACCGUAAAAAUAUGGAGUUGGUUUAUGAUGAGUCACGGGUCGCAAAACUAAGAGCAAGCUUCGUGUUAGAGAAAAACGCACAACUGCUAGUCUACAAAUGCCUUAAGAGUCUGCGUUUUUCGGAUGGACAUGCAUCGAACAUAUCAAGGCUGGUUAAUAUAGAGGACUACAAAUUGUAUGGAAUGAAGAGUCAUGACUGCCACUUGUUUAUACAAACACUCAUCCCAUUAGCUUUUCGUGAUUUGUUGCCAAAGGGAAUAUGGGAUGCACUCACGGAGAUCAGUCAUUUCUUCAGAGAUAUAUGCUCCAGCAAGUUGAAUGUUGAUCACAUUGAUAGGCUUCAAACGAAUAUCGUCGAGACACUAUGCAAACUUGAGAUGAUAUUCCCUCCAUCAUUUUUUGACUCAAUGGAGCAUCUCCCUAUACAUCUACCGUUCGAGGCAAAAGCUGGAGGACCGGUCCAGUAUAGAUGGAUGUACCCUUUCGAACGGUUAGAUAUUACAGUUGCAAUGUAAUUCAUAUAUAAAAGUAUUUUAUAUGUUUUUCUUAAUUGAAAAUACUUGAUUAAUAUUUCAAUGCAGGUACUUGUUUAAUCUCAAGAAAAAGGUUAAGAACAAGGCGCAUGUUGAGGCUUCGAUAUGUGAGGCCUAUAUUGUUGAGGAGAUCUCAACAUUUAUCUCGUACUAUUUCGAACCUCAUCUGAGAACGAGAAUCAAUCGCGUUCCACGGCAUGAUGAUGGCGGUGAAGUGCCUUCCAGUGGGAACUUGUCAAUAUUCUCCAAUACUAGACGACCCACACCUAAAAAUGCCGUAAGAGGAAGAUAUUUGUCGGAAAUAGAGUUCAAACAAGCACACAACUAUGUUCUAUUUAACUGUGAUGAGCUGAGACCUUUUAUUCAGUAAGUUUAUACUAAUUAGACUUUGUUAGUAAUAUACUGUUAAUUAUAUAUUGUAAUAUCAUACAAUCAUUAUCACUUGCAGGCAACAUCGACAAUAUUUGCUCUCCAAUAACUCACAGCUGACCGAAUCCCAGAUCUUUCAAUUACAAGAUGAGCAGUUUGCCACGUGGUUCAGAACACAUGUAAGCACUAUCACAAACUCAUUCUAACUUGCAAAAUUACUGUACGUAUGCAUGUCAUUACGAGAUUCUCGUUCAUUUACUGUUUAUUGAUGUACAUUACAUACAAGGUUUAUCAAAUGGGAAGGAGUGCGCCUAAGUCAUUGUCUUCACUAAGCCUGGGGCCUGAAAGAAAAUGUAAGUGCUACAACGGGUAUUUUGUCAAUGGAUAUGUUUUCCAUACUGAAGAAUACGGGCAAGGUAUUGAUGUACAUUACAUACAAGGUGUUUGUGUUAAGGGAUCCCCUAAGUCAUUGUCUUCACUAAACCUGGGGCCUGAAAGAAAAUGUAAGUGCUACAACGGGUAUUUUGUCAAUGGAUAUGUUUUCCAUAUUGAAGAAUACGGGCAAGGAAGAAAGACAUACAACAGCAGUGUUUGUGUUAAGGGAUCCACUAGUAGUGAGUUAGAAGUUGACUACUAUGGUAGAUUAGAAGAAGUCGUCGAACUGCAAUAUCAUACCGAGCAGAAUAUAGUGUUUUUAUUCAAAUGCUAUUGGUAUGACACGACUGACAGAGGAAUCAGAGUUGAUCCGCACUAUGGUCUGGUCGAAAUCAACUCAAAAGCUAGACUCCGCAACAUAAACGAUGUCUUUGUUUUCGCAAAGCAAUGUCAACAAGUUUAUUACACAUACACCCCUUCAUUUAGAAAGGAUCGAUCAAGAGUGGAUUGGUUGUCCGUUUUAAAAACGAAACCCCGGGGUCGUGUCGAGGUUGUUCAGGAUGAGAAUGAAGACACAAGUGUGCGAGAUGAAGUCUUUCAAGUUAGUGAGGUGGUUGAACCAUAUCGAGUUGCUCCUUCGAUUGAAUUGGAAGAAAAUUCAAAUUUUCGUGUUUUCGAUGAUAGUCUUGUUGAUGUUGACGCAGAGGAGUUGAAUUUUGUUUUGAGCUCUAGCGGACAAGCAAAUAUCGAUGAAGAAGAUGAUAUUCAUAUUGAAGAUUGCGAUGAAGGUGAUGACAAUUCAAUUGAUGACGAAGAAGAAGAAAAUUCUGACUAACUACCAAAAUGAAGCCCUAUGUAAAACCCUUUUUUUCAUGUAAUUUAGAUUAUGGAUGAUAUAUUUUGAAACACAAAAUAUUUAUUACUUGAAAUAAUUACUUGAAAUGCCACAAUUACUAAAUAAUUACUUGAAAUAAUUAUUGAUCAUGGAUGAUAUAUUUUGUAAAAUGAAAUAAUUACUUGAAAUGCCACCAUAUCACUGACGGACACACCGACGGACUUAAGUCCGUCGGCAUUUCAUAGAGAGUUCGCAAAUAAUUACUUAAAAUGUCACCAUAUCACCGACGGACACACCGACGGACUUAAGUCCGUCAGCAUUUCACAGAGAGUUCGAAAAUAAUUACUUAAAAUGCCACUAGAUCACCGACGGCCUUAAGUCCGUCGGCAUUUCACAGAGAGUUCGAAAAUAAUUACUUGAAAUGCCACCAGAUCACCGACGGCCUUAAGUCCGUCGGCAUUUCACAGAGAGUUCGAAGAUAAUUACUUGAAAUGCCACCAGAUCACCGACGGCCUUAAGUCCGUCGGCAUUUCACAGAAAGUUCGAAAAUAAUUACUUGAAAUGCCACCCGAUCACCGACGAAUUUAAAUCCGUCGGUAAGUUGUCGGCGGGUCAAUUUUACCGAUAAAAUUACCGACGGACCGCGCGAAUUUCAAAGGGUUGUGCAUUAAAUGCGCCUCUGACCGCGUCAUCUUGCCAACGGAAUUACCGACGGACCACGAAAAAUAUGGAGGGUCAUUAAAAAUUUUGGUGCGAAAUUCAAAAUUUACCGACGGAUUUUUAACACAUCACCAACGGAAUAAAUUAAAAUAAUAAUUAAUUUUAUAUCCGUCGGUGAAUCCGUCGGUAAAACUGCCAUAUAAGUUCAACUGACCGCCCGUUCAGUUCAUUUUUUCUUUUCCUUCGUUUCUCACCUUAAAAUUUUGAUUUUUUUCCUCUCAAUUCUUCAAAGCUUUCACCUCCAAUCUCUAGCAAGUUUUCUUCAUCAUCUUCAUCAGUUUAAAAGGUUAGUGUUUCCUCUAUUUUAUUUUACUUUAAUGGUAUUUUUUUGGUUAUUUUUUGGUUAUUUUUUUUGUUUUGGUGUAUUUUUUGUAAUGUAGAUAAAGUCUAUAGUUUUUUUUGCAUAAUUCAUUGCUAAUGUCUAUAGUUUUUUUUUUGAAUUUAUUGAAUAAUUUUUAUUGUUGUAUUGGCAUAAUUAUUAGUAGUUAAUUUGUUGAAUAUUUAUUGUUAAUGUUGAAUUUACCAUAGAAUUAGUAAUUGAAUAUGUUGGAAUAAUUAUUAGUUUUACUCUAUUAUUGCAUGAUUUGUGUUUAAUUUUUUCCAUUUAUUUUGAUUGUUAUUCUAGAGUUUUUUUUUAAUUUAUUGUUUUGUUGUAUUGGCAUAAUUAUUGAAUAAUUACUUGAAUUGUAAUUCUUAAUGUUGAAUUUACCUUAGGAUUAGUAAUUGAAUAUGUUGGAAUAAGUAGUAUAGAUUGGGUAAAUUGGUUAUGGCUAUUGUUAAUAUGUGCAAGUUUGUGGAUUUGGGUAGUAUCCGGUAUAGGGGAGGUGUUGUCGAAUUUUUUUUUUGACAUUUGAAUUUAAUUAUAUAAGUAUUUGUAUAAAAUUGUGUAGAUGCGUAAAACGAAAACCAGAGCUGGUCGCUCAAGUAGGUUCGCAGCUAGUUCGUCUAGCAGCGAGGAUGAUAUUUCCUUAGGUGCCUCUUAAGAAGAGGCACCUACACCACCUGCGCCGUCAACCGAUGCUGCUUCUUCCAGCGGUACUUCACAGCGCAGAGGCGGCGUGCCUUCGCAGCGGAAUCAAUUUACCCGCAAGUACAAGGCACAGUGGAAGGACGACCUUUCAAUGUAAGUUUGUUAAGGUUUUAGUUUUUUUUUUUAAAAAUUACAACAUAAUUUAUGAAGUAAUCACUAUUGAAUUUAUUUCAUUUAUUUUCAGGUUCACAAACAUUGAAGCCGCCCGAGUAAUAUCAUCGGCGUUUAAAUCGUCGAUGGAGAUUCCAUUGUUUCAAUGGAGUCAGAUAUCCAAGCAUCCUGAAUGGAUGCCUCAAAUCAAUGCAUGGUUUGGCAGAUUUCAGGUUGGUGUUAAUUUAUAAUUUUCAGCUUAUUUCUAAUAAAUUAUUAAUAUAAUUGUAAAUAAAUUAUUGUUUUUAUUUAAACUUGUUUAUUUAUACACAGCACAAAUUCUGCUGGGACAGUGAGCAUAACACUGUUGUGAGGAGGGUGUGGGAAAAUCACGCGGCAACUAGGUAAGAUCGAAAACAGUACAUGAUUUUUUUUAGACAAAAAUUUAUGUUUCGAAAUGUAAUUUUUGGUUGCGUGAAGUAGGUUGCGUGAUUUUUGGUAUGAAGCACAAAAAAAGGCAAAAAAAACCGCGAGGGAUAGGGGUUUCGAAGGCUGGAACGAUGUUGCGGUUUGGAGGGAUUUCAAACCGAUAUACAUCCCGGAAGAUAUAUGGCCGCACUAUCUUGAGCACGUGACGUCUGAGCGGUUCACACGACGCUCACAGUCCGGUGCUGGCAACCGGAAUCGGCCAAUUCAUGGUGGGGUGACAACGCACACUGGCGGCUCCGUUCCGUUUGCUGCACAUGCGAAACGGAUGGUAAUAUUAAUUUAAAUGAAAUAUAUCGUUAAAUUCAGUUGUUAUUAAUAUUUCUUUUUUCAUUAUAGGCUGCGUCUCUUGGACGUGAGCCGAGCCCGAUGGAGCUGUUUGUGGAGACGCAUGUGCGGAGUCAAGACCACCAGAAGGGGGCGCAACAGUUCGUUGAUAACCGUGCUCAGCAUUUCGUGGUAUGUUUGUUCAACCAUUUUAUUUUGUAAGUUAUUAUGUAAGUUAUUAUGUUUAUUGUAUUGAAUAUGAUGAUUACUUUUUUUUUAUUUUCAGGAGACGUAUAAUAAUCGGUUGAGGGAGAGAUACGGGGACAAUACUUUGACCCAUCCAGAAUUCGAUCCGGAUUUGUGGAUGGAGGUUGGCUCGUCAGGUGGACCCGAUAAAAAUCGGGUUUACGGGCUCUCCAACACUACGGCCGACAACUUGCGGUCGACACGUAGUGUUUCAACCGUUGGGAGCUCCCAAUCAAUAUCGAGCUCCCAAUCUAAGGAGUUUGUGGCCUUGCAGCAACACACUGCUCAGCUCACCGAGAAAUACGAUAACCUAAAAGCGGAGUACGCACAAUUCAGAGCGGAACAAAGAGCGGAGUCUGAGCAACUCAAAGCGUCUCAAGCACAACAAAAAGCAGAGUAUGAAGCGGCUCAUGAACAACAAAAAGCGACUUAUGAACAGCUUCGCGAAAUAAUCAUGAACAUGUCAAAUAGUGGAACAUGUGCGCCUAAUAUUUUUUGGCCGUAUAACCACCAGCCUCCUCCAGGAUCUCCUCCUCCUCCUCCAGUUCCACCUUUAUAUUAAUUUGUAAUCAACAUUAUUUACCUUUAAAACUUCAUUUAAUAUUUUUCUUGAAACAUAUUUAGUUUGUAAUGAAUAUUAUUUAACUUUGUUUUUUUUUUUUAUGUUUAAUAAAAAUUUUAUUUGCAUAAUUGGUUUGUAUAACAAUUAAUUUAUAUAGUUUUAUAUUAUAUAUCCUAAAUAAAUUUUUAAAAACAAAUUAAGAAAAAAACUAUUACCAAUGAUUUUACCGACGGAUUAAUUCGGUCGGUAUUUUAAACGUUCAUCGACAGACUUACCGACGGAAUUAAUCCGUCGGCAUUUGACAGUAGCUUCCACCAGUACCGACGAAUUUACAGACGGACAUAUUCGGUCGGUAUUUCAUACAUUCACCGACCGAUGUACCGACGGAUAUUUUCCGUCGGUAAUUACAAUGUCACCGACAGAAUAAAAAUCCGUCGGUAUAUUUCAAGCGGGAAUCUUUUUUUUUUGGCGCGCACGUUCCGUCUGUAAAACCGUCGGUAAAUGGUUUUUUUGUUUUUCCGACCGAUAUACCGACGGAAUGGGGAAUCACCGACGAAGGUAAAGCCGACGGACGUAUUCCGUCGGUAAUGACGUCGGUAAAAAAAUCACCGACGAACUUCUCAUCAUACACCGAUGGAAUUGUUCCGUCGGUAAAACUGUGAAAUCUUGUAGUGAAAACCUAAUAUUGGUUAUCAAAAAUCAGGUAAGGAGGUUGGUUACACCCUAAAAGUAUUUUUAUAAAAAAUUUGUCUAUUUUGUCUAAAUUCAUAGGAAAAUCAUCUAAUUUAUUUUUGAAAAUUAUGGCCUUUAAUAUAUUUUUAAAAAACUUGAGUUCAAUGAUUUCUAGAAAUAUACAUGUUAAAGAAAAGGAUAAAAAUAGAUACAUGUUCAAUUUUUUCCAAAUGAUAAAACUUAAUACUUAAGGUUGAAAAAUAUAAUUUUUUUUUACAUAGAAACAACAAAGAAAACCAAAAUUCUCCAAAUGCCCCCCCACUUUAAACACAACAUUGUCCUCAAUGUUGAAAAAAAAGGAAAGGAAUAUAAGAGAAUGACAAACAAAAAGUAAAAUGCAAUAAAUAAAAGAUAAGGGAAAAAGAAAGAAAAUUUGAAAUUUUUUUUGUUGGGUUGCCUCCCAGCGCUUUUGUUUUAUGUUAUUGGCUUGACAUAUCGCAUGCUCAUGCCUCAAAUAUUAGUUCAGUUGUAACAUCCCACAUAGAAAGAAUAGUGUGCAGAGUCAGGGCAUAAUAAGGCAGUUGGUACCUAACCUUGUAGGACGCGUUUUGGGGCCCGUGAGCUACCAGGAACAAAACCGUAAGGCGUGGAAGUCGGGUUGGGCUGAGCCAUAGCGGACAAUAUUCUGCAAGGGGGAGUGGGUCGGGCCUUACAUCAUCUAACUCAAUGGAAGUGGUGAGUUCUGUCAUCCAACAUUCAUAGAAAGUUUCAAUCGAUGCCUAUUGACCUUGAGCACUUUGUUUGUUUUUAAACUUGUAAUCUCAACAGCACCAUAAGAAAAAACAUUAGAAACAACAAAGGGUCCAAUCCAACAAGAGUGCUAGAGCGCAACUUUCCAGGAAAAAAAGUUUCAAACAUGAAUGAUAAAGAAGGACUUUGUCUCCAACAUGAAACUCUUUUCUUGUAAUCAUUCGGUCAUGAAGACUCUUGGUCUUUUUUUUUGUAAAUCCUUGCAUUCUCGUAGGCAUCAUUAUGUAUAUCUUCCAAAUCUUGCAAUUGCAACUUCCUUGCAAUCCCAACAACAUCAUAAUCCAAGUUGCAUUGCUUAAUGAUCUAAAAAACUUUGUGUUAAAGCUCCGCUGGUAGAUGACAUGCUUUCUCGUAAAUCAUGCUAUAAGGUGACAUUCCUAUAGGUGAUUUAUAAGCAGUCCGAUAAGCCUAAAGUGCAUCACUAAGUCGCAAACUCCAAUCUCGCUGGUUGCACUGUCUUCUCCAAAAUGAACUUGGUUUCUCGAUUUGAAAUUUCAGCUUGGUCAUUUGUUUGAGGAUGGUAGGUUGUGGAAGUCCGAUGAGUCACAAGGUACUUGCAUAGUGAUGUUUCUAUUGAACGAUUGCAAAAAUGAGUGUCAUGAUCGCUAAUGAUAGAUUUAGGGAUUCCAAACCUGUCAAAUAUGUGAAGUCCUGACAAAAUCUAAAACAACCUUAGCUUCGUAGUUCAUAUGGCUUCCGCCUCAAUCUAUUUGGAUACAUAAUCAACAAUAAGAAUGAUAUAAAGAUUACCAAAAGAAGAAAAUGGACCCAUAAAAUCAAUACCCCAAACAUAAAAAAUUCCACUUACAAUAAAAUUAGUUAAAGGCAUUUGAUUUUUAUGAGUGAUAUUGCCUAUUCUUUGGCAUUUUUCACAUGAUUUGCAAAAGUGAUACACAUCCUUAAAAAUAAAAGGCCAAUAUAAACUACUUUCAAGUACCUUGUGGGGUAUUCUUUUUGCUCCAAAAUGCCCACCACAAGAAUGAGAAUGACAAAAAGUGAGAAUGAAAUGAAAUUCAUCAUGUGGCACACAUCUUCCAACUACUUGAUCCGUACAAAAUUUGCAUAGAUAAGGAGUGUCCCAAAAAUAAUAUUUAGCAUCGGCUUGUAACUUAUCUUUUUGCGAUUUAGACAAACCUGAAGGGAAUUUUUUGGUGACUAAAUAGUUCACCAAAUCAGCAUGUCAUGGUCUUGUAAAGGACUGUAACGUAUACAACUGCUCGUUGGGAAAUGUCUCUUACUAUUUCGGUUUGUAUAUCCUUGGUCUGCUGUAUGCUUAAGUGAUCAGCUACAUGAUUUUUGACACCUUUUUUCAUCUUUGAACGCAAAAUCAAAUUCUUGUAAAAGCAAGAUCCACCUAAUCAAUCUUGGUUUAGAUUCUUUUUUUUUCAAAAGAUACCUCAAAGCUGCAUGGUCAGUAAAAACAACAACUUGUGUACCAAGUAAAUAGGACUUGAAAUUUUCUAGAGCAAACACCACUACAAAAAGUUUCUUUUCAGUUGUAUGGUAAUUGCAUUGCGCUUUGUCUAAUAUGCGGGAAGCAUAUGUGAUAACAUGCAAAUUAUUUCAUAUUCUUUGCCUAAAUACAGCCCCUACCGUCUAGUCACUCGCAUCAAACAUUAUCUCAAAAGGUUCAUCCUAAUUUGGUGGUUGCAUGAUGGAGGUAGAUGUGACCCACCUCUUAAGCUCAUUAUGGACACUUUACACGCUUGAUCAAACACAAAAUCCACUUCUUUGGCUAAUAGUUUGCACAAGGAUAUUGUAAUCUUUGAGAAAUCUUUGAUAAAAUAUCGAUAAAAACCUAUAUGGCCAAGAAAAACAUGAACCUCCCUCACACACGAAGGGUAAGGCAAUGAUAAAAUAACAUAUAUUAUAGCUUUAUCAACCUCUAAACCACGCAAAGACACAAUAUGCCCAAGAACUAUUCCUUGUUCUACCAUAAAAUAAAACUUAUCAAAAGAAUCAUCAUACACUAUGAAAUCAUCCAUGAAAACCUCAAUUAUUCUUUCAACAUAGUCAGAAAAAUUACUCAUCAUACAUCUUUGAAAAGUUGCAGGUGCAUUACACAAACCGAAGGGCAUUCUCUUAUAUACAUAUCUAUCAAAUGGACAUGUAAAGGUAGUCUUUUCUUCAUCUACAGGAUUAAUAACAAUAUGAUUAUAUCCACUAUAUCCAUCAAGAAAGCAAAAAAAGACUUACUUGUUAGGCGUUCAAGCAUUUGGUCCAUGAAUGGUAAUGGGAAGUGAUCUUCGCAUAUAAAAAAGUUAAGCUUUCUAUAAUCAACACACAUUCUCCAACCACUCGAGAUGCGAAUAUGAAUGAGUUCAUCAUCUUUGUUCUUUACCAACGUGAUUCCGGUCUUUUUAGGCACACAUGGAUUGGUUUCACCCGCUUACUGUCCAUGAUAAGGUAAAUGACUCUUACAUCCAAUAAUUUAAAAAUUUCAGGUUUCACUACCUCCAUUAUUAGUGGAUUCAUCCUCAUUUACAUUUCCCUUGUUGGUUUUGCAUUGUCCUCCAAUAGUAUGUGAUGCAUACACAUUGAAGGACUAAUGCCUUUAAAGUCGGCUAAAGUCCAACCAAUAACUAUUUUGUGAUCGCGCAACAAUUUCACAAGAUUUUCCUCUUGUGCACUUAUCAAACCUUUUGCUAUGUAACGGAGAGUGUAUUGUUAUCGGGAAAACAUUUCAAUUCUAACUAGGGUGCUUGUAAAAUAGAAGGCAAAAGCUUUUUGUGUGAAAGUACUAAAUUAACAAAAACAUUAUCAUAGGGGGUGGUUUACAACACCAAGGCUGAUUCUUAUAUGUUUUAGGAAGCAUAUAUGUUCCUCUCCAUCUCCUUUAUCUCGGUAAAAUCAAUGUCAUGGCUUAAUGCCACACACUCAUCAAUUUGGUUAUAGCAUGUGAUAGAAUAAACAUUGUUGUAAGAAUAUUUCAUUGCAUCAUAAAAGUUAAAUUCAAUUACUUCAUCUUCUACUCCCAUAGACAAAGUAUUCUUGCCACAAUCAAUUUUAGUGUUGACUGUUUUCAAGAAUGAUCUUCCAAACAAGAUAGAAGUGUUGGUGUUUGAGGAAUCACGUUCCAUAUCAAGAAAAGUCGCAUGGAAUAACCAAACUAUCAAUCUUGACUAGGACAUCUUCUAUCACAACAAGUGGAUAAAUAAAACUACGAUCCGCAAGUUGUAUUACAAUACUAGUUUUAAUCAAAGGCUUAAGACUAAGAGAAUCAUAAACAUGUUUAGGUGUAACACUAAUGGAUGCACCCAAUUCAUAUAAAGCCCUUUUAAAGUUAGCAUUACUACCAAUAACACAUGGGAUAGUAAACGCAUUUGGGUCCUUUUCCUUUAAAGGCAAAUUCUUUUGAACAACAACACAUACAACUUCACUCAUACUUAUCAUUUCAUAGCCUUUUAGUUUGUAAGCUCUUUUGGUAGUACACAGCUCCUUCAAGAAUUUGGCAUUUUGAGAAUUUGCUUGAUAACAUCAAUCAAAGGAAUGUUGAGUUUUACUUUCUUGAAAACCUCUAAAAUCUGUAGGGAUUUUCUUGAAAUUGGAAUUCAUUGAGUUAGGACUUACCUUAGGAGUAUUGGUGGUUGUUUCAGUUUGUAGUGGAGAAAGUUGUUUCUUAUUUAGGGUGCAUUUGUUUCCUGGAAAGUGUUUUCCGGGAAAUCACUUUCCAAACUUUCCUGUGUUUGUUUGCCAUUAGGAAAGUUGUCAACGUAAAACACUUUCUAGUCAACGAAAAACACUUUCCGGUCAACAGAAAACACUUUCCUAUCAAAGGAAAAUUUGGCUUGAUUUCCAAGAAAGUGUUUUCCUUCUAUUUUGCGCAGAAAACACUUUCCAGAAGUUGUGAAAAAUUUAGCAAUAUCAUAUUAUUUGCUGAUUAUGUCAAAUUUAAUCCUCAAACUUUUGAUUGCUAUAUAUUUUGUUUGAAUCUUUUUUUUUUCAAUUUCAUCCCUUAAAAUUUGAUUUAAUUUGAUUUUUAUAUUAACUUUGGUCCUUAUUUUUAUGAUUGUUAUUUACUUUUCUCUUAUCAUUUUUUUAAUUGAAAUUUUUUUCUAUCAAAUUUGGUCCUCAUUUUUUUUUAUUGUUACUUAUUUUAUUUAAAAUAAUUUAUGAAAUUGUAAUUAUUAUUAUUUUAAUUUCAUCAUCUUUCAAUUUUUUUUAUCUGUUAGAUUUGAUCUCUAUUGUUUUUUUUUUAUUAUUUAUUUUAUUUGAGAUAAUUUAUGAAAUUAGAUUUUUUUUCAAUUCCAUUCUCAUUCACCUUUUCAAUUUGUAAGAUUUGAUCCUUAUUAUUUUAAUAAACUUGAAAAAAAAUAAAACAUUAAUAAACUAUUUCCAGCUCAUUUUCCAUAACAUAACUAAACACUGAAAAGUGUUUCCAACUUAUUUUCCAUGACACUACCAAACAUAAAAAAAAAUUUACUUUCCCGGAAUUGACUUUUCAAGGAAACCACUUUCCAAAAGAAAACUACUUUCCUGCAAAGAAAUGGGGCUAUGCUCAAUUUAGUUUCUAUCUCCUCUUCUUCUGCCAUUUCAAUUUGUUUUGACCUUUAAUCUUCAAGUUCUUUCCCAAUUUGCAGCGUGAUCACACUAACAUUCUCUUUUGGAUUCAAUGUUUGGGAGGACAAUUUUCCGUUGAUUUGUGCUUCCAAUUUCCCUACACUUGAAGCUAUUUGCCCUGUUUAUUUCUCUAAGUUGUGAAUACUUGACCUUGUUUCCUGUUGAAAAGUCAUUGUGUUAGAAGCUAAAGUUUUCAUCAUCUCAUGAAGAUCAUCACUCGAUGACCCCAUAACAUUAGAAUUUGUAAAUGCAAGGGGCUUUCUCGCUUGAUAAUUCUAUUGGGGCUGAAAUCCAUGGGGGUGGAACUGUCGACUUAAUUGCCUUGUUGAGGUAGGUUCCCAUAGUGAAAGUUCGAGUGAUCUCUCCAUCUAGGAUUGUACGUAUUACAAAAGGAAUUAUAUUUACACUGAGGUUGGCCAUUAAAUGCUCCAUCAAUUGCAUUAGCUUGUUCAAUGUAAUCUUCUUGUAUUGUUGAGCACAUAUCUGAAUCAUGGCCUUAUAACGAGCAUAUAGUACAAACUUUCACUUGUUGUACAUUUCCACAAGCCAAAAAAUGCACAAGAGAACUAAGAUCAUUAACUUUAUUCUCAAGGUUAGCAAUACUUACCUCGUUUGGUUGGGAAGUCUCCACGCGUGCCAAAUUGUUUCGAGUUGACCACUAUAUAUUUGAGAUCAACUGGCGUGUAGCCUCUAGUGUUUUAUUUACAAAUGCCCCUUCACUUUCCGCAUCAAUGAUACUACGGUUAGUAGGCAUCAAUCCUUUAAAGAAGUAUUAAAUGAGUAGCUGAUCAGGUAUUUGAUGAUGAGGACAUUGAUUGCACAACUGCUCAAAUCUUUCCCAAUACUCGGAGAGUGUUUCCCCAUGAGAUUGUCGAAUUCCACAUAUUUCUUUCCUUAUAUUAGCAACUCAAAAUGCUGGGAAAUACUUCUCCAGGAAAAUCUUUUUCAUAUCAUUCCAUGUUCUAAUAGAACUAGGGAGAAUGAAGGUCAUGUUUUUGCUGCCUCUUUUAAAGAGAAAGGGAAAGCUUUCAGCUUAACUUGUUCUUCAUCACCUCCAUGUGAUUUCAUGCCAAUGCAAAUUAUAUGGAACUCCUUGAGAUAAGUAUAAGGGGUUUUCUCCGGCAAGUCCAUUGAAUAUUGGUAGUAGGUGUAUAAACCCAGACUUGAGCAUGAAGUUGAUGUUGUUGUCGAUAUUUAUGCAUAAUGGUUGAUUCUCCACGUUGGGAGCAGCAAGCUCCUUCAGUGUUUGUUGUUGUGCAGCAACCAUGGUGUUGAUGCGCGCUUUGUUUUCAUAAUCUGUGUAAAGUGUUUUCUAUUUUGAGAUCUUCUUACACUUGUCCUUGGUUAGUAGAUCAAGUUAUUGGCAUAAAUAGUCAAGAAAACUCAAAUAAACUAAAAAUAAAUCAAUCACAAAAGAGAUUUAAAGUAGUGAAAGCAAAUGAAAAUCCAACGCUAAAACACAAAAAUGCCUAAAAACCCUAGAAAACUGUGGAAUUUGGCCUCUAGAGGAAUGCUAGUGGCCAAAGCCCACCAGGCUUGCUCGGAACAUUGUUUCCUUUAGGAAACUAAAUGUUGAAGCCUAAUUCAACCAAAACUUCCAUUUUGAAUAGUACCGCAACUCUGUUUUAAUUUUUUUUCUUUCUAUUUUUGUUUUUUUAUGUUUUCUUUUGAACAAAAUAAAUAACAAACAUAGCACAAGAAUCAACUAGAAUCACUUCCCCAACAACGACGCUAAAAUUUGUUGCGAUGUUGUGAUCAUGCAAAUUAAUUACCCUAGCUUUAAACAAACUAGAUAGUAUAGAGCAUGCAAGGGGUAAAUUCCACAAGGAAGAUCGAGUUCAAGUCUUUAUGCUAGAUGAUUCAAAGUUGGGGGGUUUUGAGGUUAUCUAGGUUAUGCUAUAGUAAACUUAAUAAAAUAAUCAAGAUAAAUUAAAUAAAUCUGAAACUUAUUAAGAGAAAAACCUUGGUCUCAAGUAAACAUCCAUAUACAAAAAUCAAAAUGGAUCAUCAAAAUAAUAUGUUAAUUUAUAUUCUAGAUAUUUAUCUUUCCUUAACAUUAAUCAGUUAACCAAUCCGCAGGGUAAAUAACCCUAACCAUUAAACAACCACAGUAUCCGCACUAGUAAUUUAAUUCAAUAAAAGCUUUAAGAACUAGAAAGUUGAUAAAUCUAGACAACAUAACUGUUUGCAGUCUAUGCUCGAUUUAAUUGAAUAUUUUCCCUAAGAUUAACAACAUAGAUCCACCAUAAUUUUAAACCUAGUCGUUUCACAAGUUUAAAUAUCACAACUCUGGUUUUGAUAGCAAACUUAGCAGUAGAUUGGUUUAGAAUAAUAAUUUUGAGUCCGCUAUAAUAAUUAAAUUAAACAAUUAUAGGAAAUACACAUAGAAAAAUAUUCAUAGUUAUCAUAUAAACUGAAAAGAAAGGAUAGAAUAGAUCUCGUAGUUUUUAAAAUAUGGAUGUUUCUGUAUCCUUUCAACUAAAAAAAUAACUUAGCCUUGCAUGGCUAUCCAAAAACUAAUGAAGAGAACAGAUGAGAACAGGGUAGAGAUUUCUUCUUCUUUUUUGUCGCCCUUCUAUUUCUUUCUCUCUUUUUUUAUUUGAUAGGAAUCCCUAAUUCCCGCAUCCCUCCAAUCCAUUUUUAUCCUAAAAAAAUAAAAUAGUCUUUUCCAAAAUAGACAAUCUAUAUUUAAGUAGUACAAUAAUUAUUUUUCUAAAAAGAAGAGAAAAUAAUAUUGCAUAAAAUCUUCAAGAUUUGACUUUGGACUUAGAGAAGUUAAAUUACCUAAUUGAAGAUCUUAUCCAUAAGAAGAAACAAUUGCCAUGUUGGUUUGGAUGCUUUGGAAGUAAGUUGGACUUGUUUCUUCACAAAACCUGUUUGCUGAUAUAAUUUAUGGGUUAUCAUAGAAAAAUCAUAUAUUUCUCAUAUGAGCUAUUUUUCUGUUGCCAUUGCAUAGAUUAAUAGGUCUUUGAGUCAAGAAUCCAAUAAAAUUAAGUUUGCAUCAAAUGAAGUUCUCUAACUCAAGAUAUUAAAGUUGGAAUGACAAAAGGUCAAAAUUGGCAGAAUGUGAGACUUGUCUUUGAAGGCUAUAAUUUCCAUCCCCUUUCUUUUAUAUUUUUCUUGCCAUAUAUGUAUAUAAAGGUAUGGAUGUUAGCUUUCUAAUACCACUAGAAUCACUUCAUUUCAACCUCUAUGAGUAGUGAUGUAUAUAUUUUUCUAAUGCCAAGAUAUUCGACACGGGUUGAAACAUGGUCUGAAUUUUAUCUCCAAUUUGCUCCAUUUCAAAUCUUACAUCCAAAAGUACCUUCAAAAUAUAAAAUAAAUAUUAUCAAGGUAUUUUAUAUAUAAAACAUGUACAAAAUAUUAGGUAAAUAUAGGUAAAACUAUCAAAUAAUAUGGUUGCAUCAGUUGAUAUGGAGCCAUAGUUGUUGGAUGAGGAGUUGUUAUAGUUUGAACAAUCAAAGCUUCCACUGAUGUUGUUUGCAAUGUUUGCUCAAGUAGGCUAGUUAGUCUUGCCACGUCACCUUUAACGCUCUCCAUUUCUUUUUGAUGUUCAGCUUCUAAAUAUGCACGCUUUUCGUUCCCCAUUAGCUUCUUUUUUUUUUAUCUUGUGUGAUAAAUUUGUUUUAUAGAGGGACAUACAUUUCAACUCCUGUAUAUGCAUAUAUGUCAAAAAAUGUUUGCAUGUUAAAGCUCAUAUAUGCUUAUGUUGUUAAUGGAUUGAAAUUGAUUCAUGACUUCUAUCUUCUUGAUUCUAGGCAUGAUUUUUUAUUCUAGUUAAUUGUUGUAAAGGAGUAUUUUUCAAGUUCUUAUCAUUGUUGAAUUCCAAACACAUUAUAUAAAAGAGAAAAUGAGUUGUGGCUUUUUCAUUACAUAUAAUAAAAAUUCAUACAUUUUUUAUAAAUCAAAUUUAGACAAAUAUAGAAAAAUCUAUACAUCACCACUCAUAGAGGGCAUUGCCUUUAUUAGCUAUAUUUAUAAUAAAGGCAGGGGUUUCAUCCAAGUGCUUUUGGUACUUCAUGGCAUCAUUCCCAAUCUAGGCAGCCUGUUGUUGUAAUCUCCCAGCCUGAAAAGCUACUUACUCAACUUGCCUUGUCAUAUGCUUCUUCUUUUUUUGUCGUGGAAUAAAGUGUUGUUAGUGACUAAGAUGUCAUUACUAGAAGCAAGAGCUUUAUAAUUUCUUUCAAGCAUUCAUACUGUGUUUUCCAGAUAGGUUACUUUAGUCAUUACUUGUCGUAGUUCUUUUCUUUCGAUGUCAAGCCCAUCUAUUUUGGAGUUCAUCUGAACCUUAAAACUAUCAGUUUAAUCUUGACAUUCAUGACGCUCUUGCUUGGACCUAUUCAUUUUUUUUUCAUUUUGAAGUAUUGGUCUUUUAGCUCUAUCAAUUCUUCCUCUCAAAUUUCUAGCUCGGAUUGCAUCACCAUGAACUAUUCUUUUGCAUACUCGGCCCCUUGUAGUCCUGCAUGUCAGAUUUAGCAGCAUUCCUAGCACUUCUUUCUUCUUCUAACUAUUCUAUAUAUUGGGCUUGAAAGCUUUUUCCUUCUUUUAUGUCAAAUUCACCUAGCCAGUUCUUCUCUUUUUCAUUGUCUAAUUUUUUUCUAAGGCUAUCAUUUUCCUUCUUCAAAGAAUCUAUUAUUUUCUUAUUAGAAAUCAUCUUGUUCUUAGUUGAUUUCUUGAUCUUGACACCUUCUUUUUCUAUUUGCACACACUUGUUGACCAAUUCAUUAUGCUUGCUUAUUUGAUUUUCUAACUCCUUUUGGAUCCCCAUGGUUACUUCUUUAGCUAUCUCAACCAUUUUGUUUCCAAUCUUUCCAUCUCAAGAUCUUUAGUCAAGAUCAAUAACUAUUCAUCUUUUCAUUACAGUUGCUAGUUCAAGAAAUUUCUUAUCCUAUCUUCUUCUUCUAGUUGUUUUUCCAAAAGUUGUUGUUGCCCUAUGCUAUGACAGAGGUCAAUUCUGCACUUUUAUCAAUCCUUUUUUUCUUUUUGGUUGCUCCACUUUUGAUUCUAAACUUCUAGCUAUCGUGAAUUUGAUUAUUCCAAAAAGCUUUUCAAUUCUCCAGAUCACGUAGUUUUGACUGAAUGAGAAUUCAACCCUGUUUUCUUUUUCCUUCUUCACCAAUAAAGGUCUUUUCCAAUCUUGUCUAAUAAAUUCCAUCUCAUAAAAGGAUGACUGAUGUCUAAAUAAACUGGUGAAUUCUGUUAAUCCUAGAGUUAUCGAUACAUACUACAUUCCACUCAGCUGUUUUAUUACAAGUGCAGGUGUAUUACUGAUGUAUCUGGUUACACUAGUCAGAGGAACUCAUAUCUUGCUACCACAACUCAUUAUAUAGAUAGUGUCUUUAAUCCAUGGUGCUUUCCAUGUGAAGUUGUUUUGCAUUAAUGCGGUAUAUUUCUCUACCCAUGUUUUCUCGUCAAAUUCUUCCAAGUAUUAUCUAUAAUAAUUUUUAAUGGUUGAAGAUCAAACAACCAAAAGUUAUUGAAAAUAUCUCUUGCAUUUCAAUGUGACUGAUAAUUCAUAGAUGCAACAAUGAAACACUAUAUCUCAUGGUUCAUUUCUCAUGCAUCCUACAAUGGUUGAAUGAUAGCAUGAUUUCAGCCAAAAUUACAGCAAGAGAGUUGAUUUGAUCAUGUUCAUACUCUAUGAAUGCAUUGCAUUAUCUAAACUUAUGACUUUACUUUUAUAUGGGAACAAAGCUAAUCUGAAUAUAGCAAAGGACACUAGCUUGUACCAUUCUUCUUUAUUCUGGCUUCGGUAUAAGUUGAGACCUUUUUUUGUAUAAAACAAAGAAUCUUUUUAUGUGUAUUGUGUGGGUGUAUUGAUUGUUUUCUUUAUCUAAGAAUCAACCCAAAAAUAAUAUGAUCCUUAAACAAGUCAUACCCAUUGAAAGUUAAAAUAUAUUGAAUAUGGUUGAUACAUUAUGUUUUUAAAAUAUAUAAAUAUUAUUUAAUUGUGCAUAUAAAUCUAGACCUGUGAGUUGAAGGGUGACCUAGGAAAUACGUACCAUUUUAAUUCACUUCUCUGAAUAUCCAGUAAACCGUUAUUCUACCAUCGAAGUCAUCUUCUAAGUGACCGUAUUUAAUUUUAAAAAAUGUUAUGUAUAAUAAAUAUCUUGUAUAUAUAUUUUUUGGACGUUGGUUUGUAAAUAUAAUUCAUAUGUCUACAUUUAUUGUUAAAUAAAUUUUAAUUUUGAAUAUGUGUGGACGUGUAUUUAAUUAUUUUCUGAACUAGAUCAAAUAUUUUUUUGAUAUGAGUAAAUUUGGGCUAGGUCAACAUGACCACAUGAAAGCUUAUCGAGUGCAAAUAUUGGCUUUCAGGUCUAUUUUGAACAUAACCAAAGAAACAAGACCAAAACCCAAUUGACCAUUACCUUCCUUUCAGGGCAUGCUUGGAUUCCAAAAUUGAAGUUUUAAUAAUCUUCUGCCACAAAUUCAUAUAUUAUUUUAAUAUAAGUAUAAUAUAUAUCUGUUAUUAUAAACAACAAACAAUGAAUAGCUUAUUUUAGAUAGAAUAUUUUAAGGUGGUUGUUAUUUAUUUUGUUAAAAAAGUUAUUUAAAAAUGAAAAAAGUUCAUAAUUUAAUUAUUUUGGCUCAAAUUGGGCAUUUUCUCAAACUUUGAAAUUUUAUUUAUUUUUUAAAAUUUUGAUUAAUUUGAUUUUUGAACAUUUGGGUAUUUUUUCAAAUUUUUGUGACAGAUUUGAGUAUAUGGUCUGUCGCGCAGAGAUUUUGCAGCCGAUUAUGGCCUUCAGUUGGGCUAUGUGUAAUGGCUAUCAAUGGACUGAGUCGGAAGUGAACUCAGUUGUUUAUGGAUUUUUUUUUUAUCAACAUGAUAUUUGGAUCAGUUUGCUCGUAUCUUGACUAAUUUCACGGGCCCUAAAGUUAAUGACUAUGUAAACCUCUAGUGAUCCUGAAGUUUGUAAGACUCGAACUGGUAAUUUCUAGAAAAGAAACCAAAGAUCUUACAAGUUAAACUAUAUUUCUCAUGUUAUGAAUUCUUAUUUUGUGAGAUUCAACAACGACUCACAGCAUGACUAUGCAGACUUGGUUAUGAUUUCCCAUCAUGUUUUGAACGAGGUCCCUGCAAGUUUUGGGUCUUCAUCGUUUGCCAAGGUGGUUUUCGGAAGAGGUCACGUUCAAUAAAUUAAAAAAAAAAAGCCAUUUAGAUUUUAUAUAUAUCUUAUUCUUGUGAUAUCAUAACUCAAAAGUAAAAGGGAGUAUAGAAAGGCCACCUUGGCCAACAUUCUAGAAAGUAGAAUUAGUUCGUGUAUAGUAAUGCUGUGAUAUUUAUCAAAUUUAUUUUUUAAUUGAAAAUAUAUUAAAAUAAUAAUUUCUAUAUAUUUUUCUAUUUUUUACUUUAACACAUUAAAAUUAUAAAAAACCACCUAACAAAAAUCAACUUAAAAUUUAUUUAAAUAAAAAAAAAGGUUAAACCGCUCAAAACAAAUACUCCCGUUGUUGGAAGCUGGCCCGUGAUCACCAUUCUUUUAUUAAAGCCAGUUGGCUUUUGCGUUUUGGUACAAAAGCAAGAUCAUAGUUAUUAAGAUCGGAUAGGUCUUAGAUUAAUGCCGCCUGAGAUCAUAGUUAGGACUUAGGGGGUUGAUUUAGGACCCCAUGGAUUUGAUAGCUGGACUCAUCUGGGUGACAUAAAAAAUUAGAAUUGGUAAAAACCAGAUAAAAUCUGGUUCAUCAAUAACCCUGACAACCUGACAAAAUCAGAUUGAAACUCAAUAUUUUAUUUAUUUAUUUAUUUUUACAAAUGUGUUUUGUCUUCUAACUAGAAAUCUUUUAUAUAUAUAUAUUAGUUGAUUAUUAAUCAUUUUCAAAGUUUAUUAUAUAAAUAUUAGAAAAAUAUUUUAUUUUUUUAAUAUGAGAUUUGAAGUCAUUUAGUAUAAUAUAUACUCUAUGUUCACAAAAAAAAAAUUAUUUUUUCAAUGUAGAAUCUGAAACCCUUAAAUACAUAUACUUUAUAUUCACAAGAAAAAAGUUAUGUUUUUUCAAUGUGGGAUAAAAAAUCUUUUUGGUUUAAAUACUUCAACUUAAAAGGAUAACAUAUUAAUAUAGUAUCUUUUUAAUGUGUGAUAAAAAAAACUUUUGAAAUAAUCUGUUAAAUUUUAUUAUUUAUAACAUAUAUGAUCUAUAUUCACAUGAAUUUUUAUUUAAUUUUUUUAUAUAAAAUAUUAAAUUGAAAAUAUUAACUUAAAAGUUUUUUAUAUUAAUUUAGAUUAAUCCGAGUAAAUUUAAAACCCAACUUGAUAAGGUGACUUUUCAAAUCAUGUAUGAUAACUAUGACCGAGACAGCUCAAGUUUGAAGAUAGUAAGCAAUUCGUAAAGCUGAAAGAAACAAGGGCCUCUUCAAUUAGGAUGAACGAGUAGACCAAAAAAGAAAGAAAGUCUGAAAUAUGAUCUAGCUAGCUACUGAGAAUGAGCCAGUGGUUGGAUUUAUAGUUUCCAAAACCAUCCUCUCUGAAUUCAUCAUAUGUACAGUUAAUCCUAAAAUUACAAUCAUAUUUCAGCAUAAUAACUUGAGAGUCUUGUUUUAUAUAUAAUUAAAAUUUUAAAUUAAUCAGGCAACAGAAAAGCCUUGUAAUAAGAUUUAGAAACUAUCAAAUUUGUAUUAGUUUUUUAUUUAAUUUAAUUUUUAUUUUAUUUUUUAAAAAUUAUUUAGGAUAUUUUAUAUGUAUUAUAAAUAGAGUUAUUUAAUUUGUAUUUGAGUUUUUUUAAAAAUUUUAAUUUUAAAAUAAUAUUUAUAUGUGAGGAAAACUCAACUUUUUUGUUCUUGAAUAAAAUAAUAUUGAAUUAUUAAAGAAUAACUGUCUUUUCUUUGUGCCACGCGAGAGUUGCCUUUGAAACAGGUUUCUUCCUUUUAAACUUCAAUCCGAGAAACCAAAACCAUAAUAUUUUAUUAUUAAGAAAAACCUUUUCUCUUCAAUACAAUACCCAACACUAGUGAUCAAAUGAUCAGAACCACCGCAAGGAGAUAAUCAUUACAAAGCAGAAUCCAACACCUUUAACUGAAGUACAAGGAAAGACUUAAGAAACCAUCUUGACAUACUUAUAUAGUACUUGCUUGUUCUUCUGCAGCCUUUAAUUAUUACAAGGUAUAGGAAUUUUCAGGUUCACGCAUCAGGAUUUGCCAAGAAGUAAGCUUCGACAGCCUUGAACAGUCCUUCGGUCUUCUUGCCAUCCUUCUUGAUUUGAUCCUCCUUGAUCUCAGCGCCAUCCUUUAUAUAGUACUUGCUUGUUCUUUUGCAGAUGGAUCCUCCCUCAGGAGUGGGCACAAACUUGUGCUCAAAAAUCACUUUCUCAACUCCCUCCAUCCAAACGUUAGAUUCAAUCAAACUGAAGCUGUAUGCGAAAUUCUCUUCAUCAAUUGUUUCAAUCUUCUGCUUCACGUAGGUGAGUCCUUUGCCUGCAAGUGAAAUCUACAGCGUUAUUUCUUUGUGCAACACAUAUAGCUAGCUAGUGAUACACUAAUUUCAAGGCCACCCUUUAUUUUGUUCUUCUUGGGUAAUAUAUAUAUAUAUAUAUAUUAGUUACAGCAAGUAGCUAAGAGAUGAUAGAAUUUAUAACUUGCCUUCAACAAAAGUGACCUUUCUUAUUGUUCCUGGCCCUCCGUUUCCUUCAAUUAUCUCAGAGCUUAUAAUAGCUUGCGGUAGAAUUUUAGGUAUAAGAGUAUCAGUCUCAAGGCAAUAGACCUUGAAGAGCUUGGCAGGAGGGACAGCGACAGAAAACUCAUUUUCAAAAGUGAUGAGACCCAUGAUAACCAAAUAUUAGUUACAAAGAUUACAGAAGAAAGAAAUUAGAGGGGGAAUUUGAAGCUAUGAAGGAUGGUUCUGGGGUGAAGAAAUGUGAGAAUUGGAGGAGGAAUUUAUAGGGUAAGUGUAUGAACGUCUCAUCUGGAUCAAAGUCCCUGUCCCCUUCAUCGUUCUUAUUUUUUGUAGAAUUAUUGUUUUGGUCAAUAUAAGCAGCUUUGAAUCUAGAGAAAUUAUAAAAUUCUCAAGUUGAAUAUAACUAAACAUCAUUUUGUAAGAAAAAUAAUCUGAACUAGAUUAAUUUAGCACGAAUUACGAGGACCGUUGUUGCAACCUCCAGUAAGAGAAUUAGGGGAAAAAAACUUAGUGCAUGGAUAAUUUGAUAGUUCUAAAGUCCCUUGCCUGCAAGUUGGAUCAAAGACGGUUUGCAAGUCCCUAGCUAUACACACUUGCAUAUAAAGCAAGAGGAUUGGAAUAUUUUGGAUAGUUUCUUUACUCCUCAUUGAGAGUAAAUUGCAGGCGCUGAAAAUCUAUCGUUUUCCAUGUUAAUUACUGUCACAAAAAGCUCUGACUUGGUCAAGUCCAGUGCCUUCAGAAAUUACAAGUAGAAGUCAAGUUAGAACUAGCAGCCAUCGAAGACGAUUAUGUAUUCAAUGGCCCAGAUAUUAAUUGCCCAUUUAAAAUCAAUAUUGCUAUUAUUCAAAAUAGAAUAUCAAUAUAUUCCCGAGAAAAUUAUUUAGAUUUUUAGUCUCAUAAAAAAUUUUUUGAUAUUCAAAUUUAAAAAUAAAUACGUACUUAUCUUUUUAUUAACAUUUACCAUAAGUGGAAGUCUAUCAUUUUAUGAUUACCACCGUCAUAACCAUUUUAUUAUUAAAGUAAUUAUUAUUAUAAUCAUUACUAAUAUUAUAAUUAUAAUUAUAAUUAUCUUUUCAUUAACAUCUACCAUUAAUACAAGUCUAUCAUUCUAUGACGACCACCAUCGUAACCAUUUUAUUAUUAAAGUAAUUAUUAUUCUAUUAUUAUUAAUAUUAUAGUUAUAAUUGUCAUUAUUACCACCGUUAUUAUUAUCUUAUCAUAAAUAUUGCAACUUUUCUUAUUUUAUUUUUGCUAUUCAAAAAUCAUGAAUACAAUAUAUAUAUAUAUAUAUAUAUAUAUAUAUAUAUAUAUAUAUAUAUAUAUAUCCAAAUAAUAAAAAUUAACUUAAAACAAAUAUCUUUAUACUAAACAAACUCCCCCUCAAACACAAGUUGGCUUUGAGUAUAUAUUAAAUUUUGUUGGAAAUUGGAAUGACUAAUUUCUUCAUUUUUGUUCUUUUUUUUACAGGGGGCUAAUUUUAUUUUAUUUUAAGCAUUAACUUGCCAUACUGGUGGGAUUGUUUUUCAAAGUAGUAGUCAAGAUUUAUUUUUUUAAUUUAAAUGAUGUUUGUAUAUAUUUUUUUAUAGAGGUUUUUCCCAAAUAAUAAGUUGUUGAAGCAUGAGUGCUCGGAUCUGUAUAUGUGUCUGACAUCGACACCCCAUACCGAGUCUGAGGUCUGAGUAAUAUACAAUUGAUUUAAUUCCACGCCUUAUGACGUUUCGAAAAGGGAGUCGGUGUGGCAUAAAGAUAUCAUUAGAAAAAUUGUUGUUCAAAACGUUGCUUUGAAUCAUUUCAACAUUUUGAAAAAAAAAUUAAUAUACUUUUAUCUUAAUUUAUUUUUUUUCUACAAGUUAUUCAUCAAAAAUAACUCUGAAAUUACAAUUCAAAGUAAGAAGUUAAUGUUUUACAAGUCAUGUAAAAUUAACUCUUAAUCUGCAAAAUCAAGAGAUUAACCCAUAAUUUGCAUGGGAUAUACAUCGAUCUCACAAUGAUAUUGUAUAUCUUCUGUCAGAACUAAAGAUUACACAAUCCUCAAUUAAUCCCAUCGAAUGACGCUUCCUAAGCAGACUUUUCACAUGCAGCAAACAAAACUUUAAUUUAUUUCGCAAUCCAAAAUCCUUCAUUACUAGUAAGAAAUUGGUGGACAAGAACUUAUAAAUAAUAAUAUUUAUCUACCUAUAUUAAAUAACCCUUCAUUACUCGGGCAACAUAAAUAUUGAGAAACUGUUCGUCUAACACAACAAUCAUUAAAAAAAAAAUUAGUUUGUCAAGCACCACAAUCAUUGAGAAAUGGUUCACAUUCAAACUCCAAAAGCACCAACCAUUGAGAGAAAUAGUUCACGCAUCAAAUCCUAUACAAAAGCAAGCAUCCGUUGUGAAAGGGUUAACACCAAGCACUUUGAAAAAUUCUAAUCACCAAAGCAAUUUAUGAGCAACUUCGAGUCAAGAUGAUCUACCUACAUUCAAGUUCCAAAAUAAUGUUUCAAACAAAUCUUAAAAAAUACAAAAAUCCAAUUAAAAAAAAACCAAAACAUGAAUCUUGAUUUGAAAACUAAAAAGUCUAAAUGUAUGGAAAAUACUUACUUUUGCUAAAAUUUAAAACUAUUAAUAUGGUGGUUAAUUAUUAAUUUGGUGGCUAACUAUGGAUUUUAUAGCUAGAUAAAACAUAAAUAAUAACAUCAUAAUCUGAACAUAUGGUCUGUAUGAAAGUUGUAGAUAAUUAUCUUAUCUUUCCAACCUAAAACGAAUGGGCUUAUUUGCACUUUUAGAACUUCAGAUAUAGGUUAAACAACUAACAGUAUUUGGAUUGGAGGACAAAUUCAUAUUUCUCUUUUGUUGUUAAGAUUUGAACUUAAAAAUGACAGUGUUGAGUCUUGGGCUUUUCAUGAAUAUUUUAGGUUUACAUCUUAGCUUUUUAUCAAGCUAAACCACACUUGAGUUGGAGGUUGUUAGAUUCAGUUAUAACCUAAAAACCAAAUGAUGUUCCAGUUCAAACAUCAAUCAGUCCAAGUAGGAUUUCUUCUCUAAACAUAGUCUUCUCUUUGUCUCUUCACAUAAACCCUAAUUUCAAUAAUUAAGCAUAUCAAUUAGUCCUUUGAAUUGUGAACUAUGUCUAUUUUACAAACUUGCAUUUAAAACUAAGUAUUUACCAUAAAUUAUAGAUAUAUUAUAUUGUUAGACUUGUUAUUAUAAACAUGCUUAAAUUAAAGAAUUUAACAAUACUUUAAAUAUAAUAUGAUGAUAUAAAACCUUAAUAAAAUACACUUUAAGUACAUAUCACUCCUCUCAACUAACUUAUCACUACUCCCCAUCAAUUAAAGCAUUAGAAUAGAGAAACAAUUCACGGAAUUUAAAACCAAAGCGUUCGUCAUUUUACUUUUACUAAUCAAUCCAAAUAAAAAAAACUCUCUUUAGAUUUAUAUUUCUGCCAUAUUCCUUUUAAUUAAGAUAUUACUAUAUUUUUUGUGUUCAAUAUUGAGCCACAUGGUUAUGGACCUUGCUUGGAAGAAAACUAAAUUUGUUCUAAUCUUUUUCUAAGGUUAACUUCUUUUGGUUAGGAUAUAUAUAUAUAUAUAUAUAUAUAUUUCUUUUUCAUUCUUUUUUAAAUAACAUAGCUUUUAAAAAAAACAUAAUGCAUCCUUUACUCAUGUAAUGAGUUAUAGGCUAAAAACUUUCAAAUAAGUUGGCCUUAGAGCAUUAGGUAUUGAGACACUAUGAGCUUAAUAACUCGAGUUACAGAUACUUACAUGUAGAUAGUGCAAUGUUUGAUUCCCUUAAGCUUUUUCCUCAACUCAUGUAACAAGUUUUGGGCUAGUAACUUCCAGAUUAGUUGACUUUAAGUUAUUAGGUGUUAAAACACUCAUUCGUGCUUAAUUGCUUAGGUUAAGGAGACUACAAAAUUGAACUUAUCUAUGUAUUUAUUUUAUUAGUUUAUUAUAUAUAUAAUCUAUCAUUCUCUUAGUUGCCACCUACGAUAAAAGAACACAAAUAAUGUAAUAAUCUAAUUUACAACCCAUAAACAUGUGUUAAAGUAUGUGUGUGAAGAAGAUGGUUUACGAAUACUUGCUAAAUAAGUAUAUGAGCAGAAUUAAGUGAUAACAAUAUGAGAGCUUGUAAACUUGAAUAAUUAAAAAAAAAAAGCAUGUGAUAAAACCUUGUUAUGAAUUUUACAAAUAACCAUAAUAAAAUAUUUAUUGCAAUGUGUCUCAAGAGUCAUCUCAAAAGUAAAGUUCCUUCUUACUUGGCCAUUCUAAUUGUAACAAUUAUGUCAAAUGGUUUUAAUAACACCAAGAAGAAAAUGUUUUUUUUUUAUUAUUUCAACUAUCCUCUCCCCCCUAACAAAAAUGACACAUUGUUCUCAAUAUUUAAAGUCAGAUCAGUAGUGUAUAGAAGACAUUACCUAAAAUUACAACUACUAAAAACCUGAAACACACUUAAACAAAUAUAAUAAAUAACGGAACAAAAAAAUAAUAUAUUAUGGGUAAAAUCAAAAGACAUAAAUAUUUACACAUUAAGGCUCAAACCCAAUCUUUUGUUUUCACAACUUUUCUUGGUUGACCAGUCUAUUCGAUUCAUGGAUUGAUCAAAUUUAGGGAUGAAAGUUUGUAGUUGAUCAAUCAAUUGUUCAGCAGUUGCAACAGAUAUUAUGUUUCAUUAUGUCGAAGAUGUUAUAAACUUUUGUUCCAACAUGAUAAAAAAAAAGAUAACAAAUUAUUAUAAAAAUCAUUAACAUUUAAUGUUCAGUUGGGUGUAGAGAAAAUCUGAAAUAUCUCUUUGAAUGUACCUAAACUAAUUGCUAAAGAAAUAAAGGCAUCAAAAUGUUCAAGUAUUGUAGCUAUUCGUUCAGACCUUGUCAAGACCUUUAGUUCAUCUCCAAUUGUUUUUCUAGUGAUGUUCUCAUUGGCUAAAGCUUUUGGGUUGAUACCCAAAACUUGAUUGUCUAUGAAGAAUAUACAACUAUUGACACAUUUUCUAUUGACCCAAAGUUGCCUCCCCCAUAUACUAAAUGAGUCUUUCUCUCAGCUACUACCCGACCAAGAUAAUUUGUUAAUUCUAAAACUUCAUUUUCUUUUUCAGGACUGGAUCCACAAAUAUUUUUUAUUUUAAGAGUUGAGGAUCUUGUCAUCUCUACAGUAUCUUAUACUCUUUGAAUGUAUGAGCUGAAUAAAAAUAAAAGGAAGGGUGAAAAUAUUUUAUAGACAUGGAAAAGGAAUGCAAUCAUAUCACCUAUAUGGAUAGGCUAGUUAAAGGGUUUUUUUUUUGUUAUUUGAUUUAGAACAUGUAUAUGUACAAGUAGAUGUGAUUAUGACUCACAUCUUCUCUUGGUUUUACAUCCAAGAACAACUUAAACGCUGUUUAUAGGUUGGGGAUAGGCUUCCCAUCCAGUUUUUUUUUAAAAAACUAACAAACAAGGUUUUUUUAGUCAGAUUCCUAAGACUAUUUCUAGCAUAUUCUUUAUGAAAAUAGGGUCAUAUGAUUGAAAGGAAAUGGUAUUAAUGCAUUUGACUGAACCAACAUAAUAGAUUGAAUGUUAAAUAAUUAUUGUAUGUGGAUCCAGACUUGAGGUUUGAAUCACUGAUAUUUUAGUCAUCAAAGGGUAAAUGAGAUGAUUUAUACACUUCAGAAUGAUUAAAACAAAUAGCUUCAGGUUGGGACUCACCUCUACCUUCGAGCAACCAUAAGGGAUAAAAAUCCUGAAAACAAGUAGGCGAUUGAUAAGUUGAAGAGAAGGGUUUAAAGGGAUGAGCCUCUAAGUGAUUUUAUAUAGAUGAUGCCACCUCAAAACAUGUGUAACUACUUGGUGAAAUAGAAUAUUAAAUAUGUUAUAUAUAAGACCCUGAGUUAGGGGUAUAAAGAAUGGAAUGCGAGUAAAAGUUUGAAACUGAUGAAAUUUAGUUAGUGUAGUAUGUGUUACAAAAUAUAAUGAAGGAAUUAAACUUUUAGUUAUUAACUUGUAUGAACUAUGAAUAAUGUGAAUCGAGUCUUUGUUGGGUUGGAAGAAAAAACCUAAUAUAAGUUUUGUGUUUUGCAAGAGUGUUUUUUGCAUGAUCUAGCCAGGGAAUGAAAGAAUCAAAUACAGAGCUGAUACUAUGACAAAAUUUUAUACUGUACGAUCAUACCAAGUAGAUCAAUCUAUAUAUAUAAUGUAGUAAAAAAUAAUGUAAAUUGUCAUAUAAGUACAUCAUUGUAUUGUUUCUUUAAGUAGGGUAUUAACGUUUCAAAGAAUUUUAAUGUAUAGAUAUUGAUGUAAAAUUUAUUGGAUUGAUUGGAUGGCCUGAGGCCAUUACUUGGAUAUAAUUUGUUACGGGCAGGAUUCAUAAUCUUCAAUGAUUGUUAUAUAGGUUAUUAAAAGAAGAGAAACAAAAAAUUUAGUGACUUUGACAGAAGGAACUCUAUCAAAAUUUCAUUAGGAAUCUAAUGUGACAAUUUUAAUGGAAACGUUUCAAUAUUUAUAUGAAUGGUGUUACUGGGAGUAGAUAUGCAAGUUAUAAAAAAAAUUACCUUAUUUACAUGAUUUCAAGGCUUAAAAUAUCAUUAGAACGUUGAGAAUUUUACGGGGCGUUAUAUACAAACUAUAUUAUACUUCCAAAAUAUUUCAAUUUCUCCAUCAAGAAUUAAACCUCCCCUUCUCUAUUUUGAUUUGUUAUGCCACUUUCGCACGUGAUAGAGACGAUGUAUGGCUGAGCUCGCUGAAAAAUAUGGGUGUGUGCCUCCAUAAGAGGCGUGUUAUUGGGAAGGAAAUUUUUUUGAGUUUAAUCAUAAAAUUAUGAUUAAGGUUCAGGAGCUACCACUUAGUAUUAUGAUUACUAGGAAUCUAUGGUCUGCGAGAUUCUGAGUAAUGGACUGGUUGUGCAAAGGGAAUAUACAUCACCCACAGUGCACCCUACUUAAAGUAAGUUGCAUUGUUAUUUGAUUGUUUUUUUUUCUAAGUCAAGUUUCUAUUCAUUGGUCUUGUCCAAGGUCUAAGGUAGAUCUCCCUUCAUGAGAGAGUUUCUACCUCAUCGGGUUUAAUCCUAACAAUUUUAAAGUUCAAAUUUUAGCAUCGUAUUUAUUUUACACUUUGUAUCUUUAAUACCUGAGAGUGUACUUUAUUGUGUAGUUUUACACCCCCCAAGUAUUAAAAGUCUACUUCUGAACCCUAAUAUAAAAUAAACAAAAUGAUUGGUGAAGGAUUUUUGACAUUUUAGCUAAAUCCUAACGGAUAAUCAUAAACUGGAAAUGAUAUCUAUUUUUGGAUUUUUUAAAACAUGAGAAAGAUGCAAUUUUUGUCUUUUUUUAAUGAAAAUAUGCUUGGAAAACUUUUUAGAAUUUGGUCGUAUGCAUUAAAAAAGUAUAUUUUGUUUUUGUUUUUUGAAAGGGGAAAUUAAUUUAAAAGUUUUGAGAUUUUUUUUUUGAAAAUUUUCGGAGAAAACUGAGUAUUUUAAUACCGAAUCUAUAUCUUACAAUGUAAAAAUAUAACCCAAUAUUAAACAAAAUUGAUAGAAUAACACGCGAGAAAAUCAAAAUUAUUUUGAAAUUCCCUUUUGGGAUUUUAUUUUUUAAUAUAUAAUAUUAUUAUAUUAUCAUAAUUAAAUAUAUUAUAAAAUAUAUGGGUUGGGCCGACUAGCGGUCCAACAAAUCUAAGCUUCUCCUUUUCUUUUUCUUUUUCUUUUUUUUGGGUUGAACCCGGCCUAGCCACUUGAAGUGGGCUGGAACGGGUCCAGCCCAGGCUGGGGGGUAAUUAUUCCCCUUAGUGCCCUGUAUGCAUAACAAAUUAUCGUUCUGCAUGCAGGAAAAUAAAGGGAAGGGGGGGAGGUGAACUAGAGGAAAAAAAGACAGAUGGGUUACCUGGCGUAAGAAGUUGCUGGUGACCUGGUAGCGGAGCUAGUGGAGAGAACGGUGGGUGGAGACGCCAACAUCAGUUGAAGGAGAAGGGAGAAGGAGAGGAAAGAGAAGAGGGAGCUUGCGGUAGAGGAGCUGCUGGCGCUGUGGAGGAAGAAGGAGAAAUAGUCAAUGGAGAGGAGGAAAGUGUGACGAUGCUAAUGGAGGGAAAGGCUGGUGGUGGCUAAAGGCCAUAGUGGAGAGAGAAAAAGGAAAGAAAGUUCACGGUGGCAGAAAGGAAAUGAAGGGGAAAGGUUGACUUUCUUUCCCCCUUAGAACAUGAAAUCCUCAUCUAUUUAUAGGGGUUGGAAGAGGAACGUUUGGUCUCCACUAAUGCCAAAUUUUGACCCUUGAUUUGACCCAAAAGAAUCCUAACUGUUGGCUCAAAGUAGUCAUUAUGGGCUAUCAGGUUUGUUGCAAGAAAAAGGCUGGUCGGGUUGGCCACUUUGGAGCGGUGCCACCGCCUCUGUGGUGUUAGUCAGCCAGAACUGAUCACACUUGAGUGGAGUCAGAUGUCAGAUGAUCAUUUUGGUGUAAGUUUUGUCCAAUUUGAUGAAGAAACGAAGCAUCAAAUGCCUUGAGAAGUAGGCCACUCAAAUAGCUUUUCUGAAGAAGAAGAUGAACAAUCGCAACAAAACGGCUUCGUUUUAGGCAAUUGUGCUUUAGUCCUUCAAUUUAUGAUUUAUUCCUAAUUGCACCCCUGAUUGGCUUCAAACUUUCAACUUUGUGCAAUUGUACCUCUGACAAACUUCAAUUUAAGCUCUGGACUUCAAUGCCUUUUUUAUCUUGGUUAUUGGUUUUGGAUUUAUGUAAUUUUAUUCUUAAUUGACCAUCAAACUUUUAAAUUUCUUCAAUUUCACUCCUAAUUUCAGCCAAUUGGGUUCUCAGAGUUCGACGUCUUUUGCAAAAUGGUCAUUGGGAUGAGUUUUAUUUCUAGACUUAAUAGGCAACAAUGUUAUUUUAAAGAAUAAAUGUGAUAAUAAAGACAAAAAAAUGUUUGACAAAGAAGGAUAUCAAAGGGAUUUAUGACAAGGCUAUGUAAGAAUGAAAUGUGGGAUGACAUGUCAUCAAGAAAUAAGAACUACAAUAGUAGAAAGAAAUCUUGGGGCAAAUAAAGACGCUAUAUGUGAUAGAAAGUAAAAAAAAAAUCAUGAUGGAAAAGCACAAGAAGUCUCAAAACUAGGUCGCUUACUCAGAAACCGAAAUCAAGCAAAUAAUUGAGCCUAAUAUCAUGAUGAUUAGAAGUGAGAAUCGGGACAAUAGCCUAAGAUGACAAGAGAAAGUUGGUAUAUUUCAUGGAAGAUUGUUUUUAUUUAUUUAUUUUAGGGUAGUCAUCUCUAGAUAAGAUUUUUUAUUUUAUUUUUAGAAUAGUUGUCUCUUGAUGAGACUGUUUAAUUUGUUUUAAAGGUAGUUAUCUCUCGUUAGAGCAUUUUUUUUCUUUUCAUUUUAAAGGUAGUUAUCUUUCAUGAGACUGUUUAUUUUGUUUUGAGGGUAGUCAUCUCUUGAUAACACUAUUUAUUUAUUUAUUUAUUUAGUUUAUUUUAAGGGUAAUCAUCUCUUAAUGAGACUAUGUAGUUGUUUUCUUUUGUUUGAAGUUACGGGUAAUCGCCUCUCAAUAAGGUUGUUUCUUUUAAUGUUGAGCAAAGCUCGCUUUCUUUUCAAUACAAAAUUAUUAUACAAAGUUAAAGAAAAAUAAAAUCUUCAAUGUUUUUGUACCGUAAGUAUUGUAAAGAAGGAGCAAAUAUCAUAACUCAUUUUUUAUCACCUAAUUUUUAAAAGAUGUUUUCAAAAAUAAAAAUAAUGAGUGAAAUGAUAAGCAAACAAGGAAAGUGGGUGAGAUAAGAAGAUAAGAAAAUAGAGGGAUAAGGAGAUAGGAAGAUAAAAAGAUUAGAAGUUAGGGAUAUAAGGAGAUAAGAAGGGAUAAAAAUAUAAAUAUAGAAGAGAAUGAGUUAUAAAUAGACCAUACAAUUGAAGAAAAGAAAUCAGAGAAAACCAAAGAGAAAAUGAAGCAAAAAAAAAAGCACUCCUAAAAAAAAAUAAAAAGAAGGAAAAACAAAACAAAACAAGCUUAUCUCUUUAGCCAAAAAUACAACAAUUUUUUUUCCCUUCCUUUAUCCCUGCAAGAAUCCACUAACAUAACUCAUAUAAACACAUUGUAACCAACCUUCUACCAUCAUAGCUUCAGUCAACCACCCUUCUAAUCAAAAUCAGCUCACCAUCAAAACGCCACCCAAACCACCAUGAACUAGACCAAAAACAACCUCUCACCACCACCAUUACACACCAUUUCUUAUAAUCUUAUACUUACCAACCCGAUCACUAUAAAAUGAAGUUACCACUUAUGAAUCAUCGUAGCAUAGUCAUUCUCUCUAACCGAUCAUCCACACUCGAAAUCUGAAAAACCCAAAAAUCCCAACAACCAUGUAACACUUCUUCCACUGCAACACCGAAUCCUUUUCCGACCUGAAAUCCCAGUCGCAAAUCAGAUCCAUUCUCACACUUCUAAUCACCUAAAAAGACUGAGUUGUUUUUGCUAGUUUUCUAGGUUUUGUGACAGCACGUGAUGCACAUGCGCCACACUCUAGACAAACAGUCCACCAGCAAUACCCAAUCUAAUUUUAUCAACUUUUGGUCAACUCUAACAAGUCUUAAAGUUGUUUUUGAACCCCAAAUAAUUUUUUUUUUAUUUUGGAUAAUUUUUAAUAUAUUAUCAUUUUUUAUAUUAUGAUGAAUAUUUAAAGUGUUUGGGUCCACAUCGACCUUGGAGGUAUGUAGCCGUCAAGAAUUUUUUUUUUUGACGUAUGAUAAGGUUAGAAUUAAUACCCCACAAUGGAAGAGAGGGUAUUAAUUGAAAUUUAAAUAAAAAAUUAAUGCAAAGUAAAAAAUACAUUAAAAUAAAGAGGGUCCUUGUAUAGGAGUAGUUGUGGCUAAAUAUUGUAUGUAACAAGCACAAGCUUAUCAUCAAAUGUCUCUUCUAAUAAAGACCGUCUGGCUGUGAAACUUUUCCAAUAUAUGUUUUUUAUUUGCAUUCACACCUUUUGGAAUGAGUCGCUAAACCAAGUUUUUUUUUUAGGUGAAGGAAGUAUGAUUGUUUUAUCAAUAGUUAAACCCGAUUGGAAGAUGUUUCAACUUAUAUUCCUAUUAAUGUAAUAUCCAUUACAAGUAAGAACAUUAAAAAAUAAAAUAGCAAGUACGAAAAUGAGUAAUAACCUUUAAUAAAGAUUGUGUCACAACUCUAUAAUUAAUUCAUAUAUCGGGUGGUCUUGAAAGUCUAGUUGCUAGGUCUAGCUUUGAGUGACUAAUCUAUAAGGGCUUUAAGGGAAAAGAGAAGGGGUGAAGUUAUAGGUCAGGUUUGUAAGCCUUAUUUCUAAAUUGUUGAUCCUAAGUUCCCAUGAUUGCCUACUUUUUCCUGUUGAUUCUAAGAGAUGGAAGGGGCUCAAUUCAAGCUAGUCAUUCAAUCUGACUCGACAUUUCACCAAGGAGCCUCAAAACUAUGAAUCAUAGAACUAUAAUGAAAUAUACAAUCAACCAACAUUUAUUAAAUUUGACAAAGAUUCAGAAGAAACUCCAAAUAUUUGAUGUCUUUCUCUUUGAAUGAGAUCUCAAUUCAAAAGACGGUUUCAUUAAAUAUCUAAUAACUAGAGUCCUUUUUUUCAAUCCAGUCUUCCACCACCAUGAAACCUAGUUAGAUUCAAGCAUGAUACACUUUUUAGUUAUUGGAAGAACUCAAGUACUCUCUUUCAGAUCGAGUAAGAGAUCUUUUUCUUUUUAAAAGAUACAUGAGUGAAACAAUCAACAUAUUGAUAUAGGAAGACCCAAAUGAUUCUUUCAAUAUAUCAUUUAUAGGUCCAAUGAAAUUCAUAGGAAUAGGAAGAAGCCUUGAAAAAUAGAUAUUAUUUUUUCAACCAUCUUUUAAUUGUUAAUAUGAUAUAAAAGGACCAUUACUAUAAAUAUAAUUGAUUAGUCAAAGAGAUAUUUAAUAACUAAAAUAAAUAUCUCGGUUUUUUGAGAUCUUCUGUUCUUCAAAUGGAAGGAACAAAGAUGAAAUUAGAUUGGUUCCCUAAAUGUCUUUCUAGAUAUUUUUGUUAUUCACGAAAGAUGUGAAGGAGAUGAAUAAGCAUAUGCUUUUGAAAGAAAUUAAAGAAUUUAUUGAGAGUCCUACAAGGUUCAUUAAUUUCUUUCCUCUAACAAGUGGUCAAAACUUCAUCUUAGUUUGAAUCUUACUAAGAGGUCCACUAGAUAUAAUAAAUUAUUGAAGAAAUAGCAAGAUGUUUCUUUAGUCCCUUCUAAAUGAUCGAAAAAAAGAAAGAAAUAAUCAAUAUAUUUAAAGUAAUUACAUAUUUACAAAAUACCAUCUUAAUUCAUCCCAUUUCACCAAAUUAGGGAUGUGAUAUGGUUUUGAAGGAUGAACUGGAUGUGGAGAGUUCCAAUAAUAUUUCUUUCUUGAAUAUUUUUAUUUAUUUAUUUCAUAUAUAUAUUUCAUAAUCAAAACAGGGGAUACAUGUUCCACCAUGAUUCUAAAUUAGAAGGGAGAAUAAGAAAUAACAAAUCUAUUUAUUCUACUAAUAACCUAGCCAAAUCUUGUAUAUCAUAAGAUUUGAGACUCUUUUCAAAUCUUAUUUCACCUUGACCAAGGAUUUUCUAGUCAUACUAUUUGAGAAUAGAUGAAAUAUUUUCUCUUCAUCUAAGGUGAUGAAUCAUCUCUUGAUCACUAAAAUAUCUUCAUAUAGUUCAUGCUACACCUAAUGUUUACUCUUUCGUUAUCUCGAUUAAGAUAACAUGUAACAGUAUCAAAGCAUAAUAUUUUCUAUAUUAGAUGAGUUAGUGAUAUGAAGUUUAAGGAUCACUUAUGUAACCGUCACAUGAGCCUUUCCAUAGACAUAGGUGAUCUCUCCAUAUGGAAUUCUCAUGUGGGUAGGUUCAGUGUACAUGUCUUAUGACAAGCACCUGCAUAUUAAUUCUAGGUAUCCCUUAUACAUCAGCUUAUGAGAAUAACUGUUUUUUUUUUAUAAAGGAAAGAACAUAAUAUGUAUUGGUCUCUACGGGUCUAAUGAAUGUCGAGUAUUUAAGAGAGUAUCGACCAAGAAUAUUUUAGGAACAAUGUUUUGAUGCAAUAGGAAUCCUAUAAUUAUAACAACUUUAUAAUUUUUUUUGUAAAGAAUUUUUGUCCUAUGAACUUUAUCUUUAUUGUAGAUUCAUUAAUCUAAUAUUACAUGAAUAUAAUAAUAUCAUGUGUAACCAAUCAAUUGGCUACAAGGCAUAUUAAACUACCACACUGAUGAAAGGAAAUGGCGUUGAGCAUAAGUGGUAUCGAUGGCCCUUUUGCAGCGUAGAAAUGGCUACAAGGCAUAUUAACCAAUCUUAUAAUUUUUUGAGCACCGUUUGUUGAUUUGUGGGAUCGAUGGUCCUUUUACAGUGUAGAAAUAGCGUUGAGCGUAAGUGGUAUUUAUAGCUGAACAUGAAGGUUUAUCUUAGACUUCUUAGUCAAAAAAAGAACUUUUCAUGUUCUAAAAGGAAAGAUAGGUGGUCACAAUUAAUCCUAACAUUUCGCAAUUAAUCCUAACAUUACAACAAUAUUUCAGCAUAAUAUAUAGUUAAGUUAAAGUCUGUUUUGGAUUGAUUUUUUGCAAUGCAUACCUUUAUGUUAACAAACAUAAUUGUCAAUUUAACCAUUUCACUGGGUGGAAAUUUUACCAAAAAUUUUCAGAGGUCUUGUGUUAUACAUGGUUAAAAUUGCAAGUCAGUCGGACAACUAAAAAGCCUUGUAAUAAGGCUCAAAAGCUAUUAUGCGCGAUUUAUAUUUAUUUUCUAUCUAAUUUAGAAUUUUUUUUCCUAUUUGAUUUAAAUUUUUUUUUUAUUUUUUAAAAAUUGUUUAGGAUAUUUUGUACCUAUUAUAAAUAAAGUUAUUUAAUUUGUAUUUAAGUUUUUUUACGGACUUUGAUUUUAGAAUAAUAUUUGUAAGUGAGGAAAACUCAAAACUUUUUGGUUCUUGAAAGAAUUUAUAUUGAAUUAUUGAAUAAUAACUAUUUUUGUGGAGUUUUUCUUAUGUUUUUUUUUAUUUGCUAAUUAUUGGGUGAGGAUUUAAAUUCUAAUAAUUAAAAGUAAUCGUUGCGCCACGCGAGAAUUAAAUAGGUUCUUCCUUUUAAACUUCAAUCCGAGAAACCAAAACCAGAAUAUUUUAUUAUUAAGAAAAACCUUCUCUUCAAUACAAUACCCAACACUAGUGAUCAAAUGAUCAGAACCCCCGCUAGGAGAUAAUUAUUACAAAGCAGAAUCCAACACCUUCAAGUGAAGUACAAGAAAAUACUUAAGAAACUAUCUUGACAUACUUGUAUAGUACUUGCUUGUUCUUCUGCAGCCUUUAAUUAUUACAAUGUAUAGGAAUUUUCAGGUUCAGGCAUCAGGAUUUGCCAAGAAGUAAGCUUCGACGGCCUUGAACAGUCCUUCGGUCUUCUUGCCAUCCUUCUUGAUUUGAUCCUCCUUGAUCUCAGCACCAUCCUUUAUAUAGUACUUGCUUGUUCUUUUGCAGAUGGAUCCUCCCUCAGGAGUGGGCACAAACUUAUGUUCGAAAAGGACUUUCUCAACUCCCUCCAUCCAAACGUUAGAUUCAAUCAAACUGAAGCUGUAUGCGAAAUUCUCUUCAUCAAUUGUUUCAAUCUUCUGCUUCACGUAGGUGAGUCCUUUGCCUGCAAGUGAAAUCUACAGCGUUAUUUCUUUGUGCAACACAUAUAGCUAGCUAGUGAUACACUAAUUUCAAGGCCACCCUUUAGUUUGUUCUUCUUGUGUGUAUGUGUGUGUGUAUAUAUAUUAGUUACAGCAAGCAGCUAAGAGAUGAUAGAAUUAGUAACUUACCUUCAACAAAAGUGACCUUUCUUAUUGUUCCUGGCCCUCCAUUUCCUUCAAUUAUCUCAGAGCUUUUAAUUGAUUGUGGUAGAAUUUUAGGUAUAAGAGUAUCAGUCUCAAGGCAAUAGACCUUGAAGAGCUUGGCAGGAGGGACAGCGACAGAAAACUCAUUUUCAAAAGUGAUGAGACCCAUGAUAACCAAAUAUUAGUUACAAAGAUUACAGAAGAGAGAAAUUAGAGGGGGAAUUUGAAGCUAUGAAGGAUGGUUCUGGGGUGAAGAAAUGUGAGAAUUGGAGGAGGAAUUUAUAGGGUAAGUGUAUGAACGUCUCAUCUGGAUCAAAGUCCCUGUCCCCUUCAUCGUUCUUAUUUUUUGUAGAAUUAUUGUUUUGGUCAAUAUAAGCAGCUUUGAAACUAGAGAAAUUAUAAAAUUCU